RNAcentral lists this long non-coding RNA (45686 nucleotides) under Zea mays. Its description in RNAcentral is "long non-coding RNA (ZMAY_LNC001410)". The record is from RNAcentral. Lineage: Eukaryota; Viridiplantae; Streptophyta; Magnoliopsida; Poales; Poaceae.
CCAUUUCCUUCUGCGGUAUGUGUCAGCUUGGCUUUUUUUGUAGCUGCACUCUUUAUGUUAAAAUCUGGAACAAGGUUGCGAAGCAUUGGCUUCAAAAUUUAAAUUACAUGCUUAUGUAGGCCGUUCAUCAUGUUUUAUGAUUUAAUUGAACAGAUCAUUGUGGAGUGUAGCAACAAAAAAUGUCAAAUUCAAUUCAAGCUUGGCUUGUGCUAAUAAAUCUAGGUCUAUGUGGUUCACAGGACUCCACAUAUUUCAGCAAUGCACCAUGACGAAACAUCUGAUCUGAAGAUUGUGGCCGAAAAUUUUGAAGAAAACCUAGAGGUACGUCGGCAUUGUGACCAUGUGCUUUGUCAUGUCAUACAGAGGUAUACCUGAGCUGGUUUGAUGAUGUCUACUGCAGAUUACAGGCACAUCCUUGGAGGCUCGUAAGCUGGUCGUUGAAAUCUGUGACAUUGUGGCGACAAGAGCAGCCCGGCUGGCUGCUGCGGGGCUUGCAGGGAUCCUCAUGAAGAUCGGGAGAGAUCACAGCGUCGAGGACCAACGGUCAGUCAUCGCCAUCGACGGAGGACUGUUCGAGCACUACACCAAAUUCCGCCGGUGCUUGGAGACCACACUGGGUGAGCUGCUAGGAGACGAGGCGUCCAAGGCGGUGGCCAUCAAGCAUGCCGACGACGGUUCAGGAAUAGGUGCUGCCCUGAUUGCAGCUUCACAGUCUCAGUACAAAAACGACUUAGUGGCCGUCAAGCAUGCAGAUGACGGUUCAGGAGUCAAGUAUGCAGAAGACAAGCGUGCAGAUGACGGAUCAGAAAUAGGUGCUGCCCUGAUUGCUGCCUCGCAAUCUCAGUAGAGAGAUGUCCGAGUGGUAUAGAGGUAGCAAGUAGCUAUGAUUUGUUUCCAACGUCUUAACUGUCCAGCGUCUGCAGUUUAGCAUGCUAGAGCUGGAUGCGAUCUGUAACCAAAACCAGGCUUGGCCAACUGGCUGUUCAUAAUUCCAAUAACAGCAGGGUUGCAGAUGUCUCCUAACCCCCUACGAUCUUAAAAACUUUUGAAUGUUUAACCAUCAGAGCUUCUUCUAUGCACUGAACCAUCGGCUGUUAGACUUGUGAACAAGGUAGUUUCUAUGUCAUCUUUCUCAUCCUUACCAAAGCUCCACAAACGAGGCCGUGUAAGAGCUAAUACGAUGGUGAGGAAGAGGAUUUGGAAACGGAUUUUGCACAGCGGUCACAGAUACAGAAAGAUCAAUGGAGUUAUCUUCGUUGACAACACCUCUGCGAACGUAAGUGUCCCUGGGCAAAUCUUUAUCCGUUGGAGCUGACGCGACUACACGAGCCCUUGGAUCUGGCAACUGGUGGUUCCAAAAGCUUCGGGGGCAGUCUCAGGCAUCCCCAAGUCCCCCCCUGUAUAUCUUUGCAUUUACACGCUACGGCUGGAUAUUGGCAAUUGCAUAGCGUUGUGCAUGUUCAUAGCUCUAGCAAGGGAACUGUGUCCAUUCAUGAUUAACGACCGGAAUACUUCAAUGUUGCUGUAAUCUUGUAGUGCGUCAGCAGUACUUGCAUUAGUUGCACGUAGAUGCAUUAGUCUAUCGCGUGUGUUACUGCAUGGCAUAUUUGUUUUAGUGUAGAUCACGGCGAGCUGGAGACUGCAUGGCAUAUUUGUUUUAGCGUAGAUCACGGCGAGCUGGAGACUGCACAGUCUGCGUCGUGACCGCGUCGUUCGGGUAUUCGCCGCCACCACCUGUACCGCUGUACGCCGUGCAUGUCGCACGGGCCACCGAAAGAUGAGGGGCUUCGUGCAGCUACGGGGAGUGGCGGGGAAGUCGGAUCACUCCGUGUAAUAAGACUAUGUUAAUGCAUCAGAAAACGGCGCGCGAGUUGCAACCCAAAAACACCUCUGUCUCAGCGUUCGUCCGUCGGCUCUGGUGAUCGCGCUCUGUCGUCGCGCUGCCACAGUUCGUGCUCAUCGCUGGCCACCGUGUUUCGGUUCCAACAUUCCGGUAUCAGAGCCGUGGUUGUAUGCACUACGACAGGUCGGUAUCUCCUCCACAAGAACCGGCGAAGAAGAAGUGCGUCCUCACUCGACGACAACUGUCGAACACCAUGACUUCAACGUCGACCACCGGCAGCGGCGUGAAGGAGAGCUCACUAAUGUGGCCACUUCUCGGCCACGAUAACUACUCCGAGUGGGCGAUGUUGAUGCAGUGCAACCUUGAAGCGAUGGAGAUCUGGGAUGUGAUUGAUCCCGGGAUCAAUCCCAAGCGAGCGCACGAUCGCCAAGCCAUGAGCGCGCUCCUGCGCUCGGUGCCGAAGGAGAUGUGACAGUCGCUCGGCGCCCGGGCGACAGUGAAGGAGGCGUGGGAGGCGGUGAAGUUAAUGAGGCUCGGCGCCGAUCGGGUGAAGGAGGUGAACGCCCAGAAGAUGCUCCAAGAGUUCGAGAACAUCAAGUUCAAGGACGGAGAAUCGGUCGAAGUUUUCAGGAUGCGAAUCACCAACCUCGUCGGCAACCUUCGAGCACUUGGCGAGGUCAUGGAAGAUAUCCGCGUCGUCAAGAAGUUCCUGCGGGUGGUUCCGGCGCGCUUCACCCAGGUAGUUGUCACGAUUGAAAUGUUCUGUGAUCUCAAGCAACUCUCGGUGGACGAACUGGUGGGGCGUCUGCGUGCGGCCGAGGAUCGAUUCGACGACAAGGUCGAACACCUCGUUGAUAAGGCAGGACGGCUCCUUCUCACCGAGGAGGACUGGCUUGAGAAGAACAAACACCGUCUGCGUUCAGGCUACAAGGACGGUGGUGGUGACUCUGACGCUGGCUCCUCGAAAGGCAAGUCGCCGGCACACCACGACGGGAAUGCCUCUGGACCGGUCAAGCUGACCUCCCAGGGCACUCUGCGGCGUAAAGGACGGUGCCGCAACCGUGGGAUCUACGGUCACUGGGUUGAGGACUACAAACGCCCAAAGAGGGGGAAGAAGGAGACACCGACGCCUGAGGCAAAUGUGGCGAUCGGUGGAACUGAACACAAUGGCGCACUGAUGCUGGCCACUUGUGACAUUGUGCACGAUGUGGUUCAGCAUGUUCAUCUGACAGAGAAGACUAUACCAAUUUCAGUUCCUGAAGGUAUGUGGGUCCUUGACACUGGAGCAAGUAAUCACAUGACAGGUACACGGUCGUCGUUGACACAGCUUGACCAAGGUGUUCGGGGAACAGUUUGGUUUGGAGAUGGGUCUGUCGUCAGAAUACAAGGUAUGGGUUCGGUUAUUAUGCAAGGCAGUGGUAAUGGGCACAAGGUGUUAACUGAUGUUUACUACAUUCCUGAACUAAGAACCAACAUAGUCAGUUUGGGUCAAUUAGAAGAAAAAGGCUUUAAGUUUGGAGGUGGAAAUGGAAAAUUAUGUGUGUAUGAUCAAGAACAUAUGCUGUUAAUAGCUGCACCUAGAACUGCAAAUAGGCUCUACACCAUCAAAUUUGGUCUGUCAGCACCUGUGUGUUUGCUGUUAAAUACCAAACACAAGUCAUGGCAGUGGCAUGCUAGAUUUGGUCACCUAAAUUUCAGAGCCCUACAUGAUCUUAGUAGCAAAAACAUGGUUGAUGGCAUGCAAACUGUGAAAAAGGCUGAGCAAGUAUGUGAUGGUUGUGUUCUUGGGAAACAGCAUAGGAAACCUUUUCCAACUGUGUCAAGUUUCAGAGCUGAGAAAGGGUUAGAACUAGUUCAUGCAGAUUUGUGUGGUCAGAUUACUCCUAAAAGUAUAGGUGGUGCCUCAUAUUUUCUUUUAGUAGUAGAUGACCAUAGUAGAUAUAUGUGGGUUGAGAUGCUUAAUACUAAGGAUCAAGCACUAGACUGUUUCAAAAAAGUCAAGCAAAGGGCAGAAGUUGAACUGGGUGGUAGUCUGAAGGCAUUGAGAACAGACAGAGGGGGAGAAUUCACAUCAAACCUGUUUUUAGUGUUCUGCAGUCAGUUUGGAAUCAAACACUACACCACAACUCCAUAUUCCCCUAAGAAAAAUGGGGUUGUUGAGAGGAGGAACCAGUCUGUGGUUGAAAUGGCCAGGUGCCUGCUGAAAUCGAUGAGAGUUCCAUCAAUAUUUUGGGGUGAGGCAGUGAGAACUGCAGUGUAUCUCCUCAACAGAUCACCCACAAAAGCUCUGAAAAAAAAGACUCCUUAUGAAGCUUGGCAUGGAAAAAAGCCCAAAGUGAGUCACCUGAGAAUCUUUGGUUGUGUAGCACAUGUGAAGCGUGUUGGUCCUGGAAUAAAUAAGCUUGCUGACAGAUCCAGCAAAAUGGUAUUUAUUGGCUAUGAGUCAGGAACUAAAGCAUACAGGUUCUUUGAUCCAGCUACAAAUAAGCUGGUAGUUAGUAGAGAUGUGGUAUUUGAAGAAGGGAAACCUUGGGACUGGGACAGUUCAAAGUGCAGCACAGAUCAACAGGAGAAUGACACUUUUAUUGUUCACUAUGAUCUAACUGACCAAAACAUGGCAACAGCUGGGGAUGAUAGUAACCCAACACUGUCAGACCAAAGUACAGGAGGAGAAAAUUCAGUUGGCCGAAGCAGUGGAACAGGACAAGCUAAUGAACCUGCUUCUCCAUACACUCCAAUAUCAAGUAUGAUGCAAAAUCAAGGGAUGGGAACUCCAUCUGUUCAACAAUCAGAGAGCUCAGGGUCAGGACCAAACAGGUUCAGAACAUUGACUGAUUUGUUUGAUGCAACUGAACAAGUGCAUGACUUUUAAAAGAGAAAUAGGCUCAAACCUUUUCCUAUAUAAUUUUGGUGGUUGAAUUGCCCAACACAAAUAAUUAGACUAACUAGUUUGCUCUAGAAUAUAUGUUCUACAGGUGCCAAAGGUUCACAACAAACCAAUACAAAGUUAAAAGAAAGGGUUCAAAAAGAAAUGAGCAAAAUAAACCGAAGCCUGCCCUGGUCUGGCGCACCGGACUGUCCGGUGUGUCACCGGACAGUGUCCGGUGCACCAGGGAGAAUCACUCUGAACUGCUCAGCUUCGGGUUUCUAGAAAAUGCUCUCCGCUAUAAUUCACCGGACUGUCUGGUGUGCCAGCGGGAGCAACGGCUACAGCGCAACGGUCGAGUUCAACGAUCGCUGAUAACGCUAUAGUGCGCGGACUGCGCGCUCAGAAGUCAGAGCAGGCGCAGAAGGCGCACCGGACAGUGAACAGGACCUGUCCGGUGCACCACCGGACUGUCCGGUGGCCCAGCUGUCAGAAGCUCCAACGGUCAAACCCUAACGGUUGGGUGACGUGGCUGGCGCACCGGACAGUGUCCGGUGGCGCACCGGACUGUUCGGUGUGCCCGUCAACAGACAGCCUCCCCAACGGCCAUUUUGGUGGGUGGGGCUAUAAAUACCCCCAACCACCACACUUCAAGGCAUCCAAGUUUUCAGCCAACACAUUCAAUACAAGAGCUAGUGCAUUCAAUACAAGACACAAAUAGAUUGAAUCAAAGCCUCUCUAAGUCCCAAAUUCCACUCAAAGCAAUUAGUGACUAGAGAGAGUUUUGCUCGUGUCUUUGAGCUCUUGCGCUUAGAUCGCUUUUCUUCUUCCUCUUUCUUGUUCUCAAGCAACUUGUAAUCAACGCAAGAGACACCAAGUUGUGGUGGUCCUUGUGAGGGGUCUAAGUGACCCGUUGAUUAAGGAGAAAAGCUCACUCGGUUUAGGUGACCGUUUGAGAGAGGGAAAAGGUUGAAAGAGACCCGGUCUUUGUGACCACCUCAACGGGGAGUAGGUUUGCAAGAACCGAACCUCGGUAAAACAAAUCACCGUGUCACACUCUUCAUUUGCUUGUGAUUUGUUUUCACCCUCUCCUUCGGACUCGAUUUUAUUUCUAACGCUAACCCCAACUUGUAGUGUGUGCUUAAGUUUAUAAUUUUCAGAUUUCGCCUAUUCACCCCCCCUCUAGGCGACUUUCAAUUGGUACCAGAGUCUGGUACUUCAUUAGAGCCUAACCGCUCAAAGUGAUGUCGGGAGAUCACGCCAAGAAGGAGGUCGUGACCGGCGAGAAGCCCGCCGCAAGCCACGGGAAGGCUCCAUCAAGGGAGUCCGGCUCCAAAGGAAAGGGAGAAUCACCUCCCCGCGUCAAGUCGCACCGGAGUGGUGACAAGAAGAAAAUGAAGAAGGUGGUCUACUACGAGACCGAUUCUUCGUCGCCCUCCACCUCCGGCUCCGACGCACCGUCCGUUACUUCUAAGCGCCAUGAGCGCAAGAAGUUUAGUAAGACCCCCCUACACUACCCUCGCAUUUCCAAACAUACUCCAUUACUUUUCGUCCCAUUAGACAAACCACCGGUUUUUUACGGUGAAGAUUAUUGUAUGUGGAGAGAUAAAAUGAGGCAUCACCUAACCUCACUCCACACUAGUAUUUGGGAUGUUGUUGAGUUUGGAGUACAAGUACCAUCCGUAGGGGAUGAAGAUUAUGAUUCGGACGAGGUUGCCCAAAUACGGCACUUCAACUCCCAAGCCACUACUAUACUCCUCGCCUCUCUAAGUCGAGAGGAGUAUAAUAAGGUGCGAGGGUUGAAGAGUGCCAAAGAGAUUUGAGACGUGCUCAAGACCGCGCACGAAGGGGAUGAGGUGACAAAGAUCACCAAGCGGGAAACGGUCAAGGGGAGCUCGGUCGUUUUAUGCUCAACCAAGGAGAGGAGCCACAAGCCAUGUACAACCGGCUCAAGACCUUGGUGAAUCAAGUGUGCAACCUUGGGAGCACAAAAUGGGAUGACCAUGAGAUGGUCAAGGUUAUUCUAAGAUCACUUGUUUUUCUUAAUCCUACACAAGUUCAAUUAAUUCGUGGUGAUCCUAGAUACAAACUAAUGUCUCCCGAGGAGGUUAUAGAAAAGUUUGUGAGCUUUGAAUUGAUGAUCAAAGGCUCCAAACAAAUCAUCGAGCGAGGCGCCACCUCAACACCCGAGGUGCAACCCGUUGCCUUCAAGGCGACGGAGGAGAAGAAAGAUGAGUCUACAUCAAGUAGGCUCUCCAUCGACGCCUCCAAGAUCGACAACGAGGAGAUGGCGCUCAUCAUCAAGAGCUUCCGUCAAAUCCUCAAGCAACGGAAGGGGAAAGACUACAAGCCCCGUUCCAAGAAAGUUUGCUACAAGUGUGGUAAGCCCGGUCACUUUAUAGCAAAAUGUCCUAUUUCUAGUGACAGGGGCGACGACAAGAGGGGGAAGAAGGAGAAGAAGAGAUACUACAAGAAGAAGGGCGGCGAUGCCCAUGUAUGCCGGGAGUGGGACUCCGAUGAGAGCUCCACCGACUCCUCCGACGAGGACACCGCCAACAUCGUUGUCAACAAAGGCCUCCUCUUCCCCAACGUCGGCCACAAGUGCCUCAUGGCAAAUGACGGCAAAAAGAAGGUAAAAUCUAGAGCCUCCACUAAAUAUGCAACAUCUAGUGAUGAGGAUAACUCUAGUGAUGAUGAAGAAAAUUUGGUUGCUCUUUUUUCCAACCUAAACAUGCAACAAAAGGAAAAAUUGAAUGAAUUAAUCAGUGCUAUUCAUGAGAAGGAUGAACUCUUGGAUAGCCAAGAGGACAUCCUUAUUAAGGAAAACAAGAAGCAUGUUAAGGUUAAAAAUGCUUAUGCUCAGGAAGUAGAGAAAUGUGAAAAAUUGACUAGUGAGCUAAGCACUUGUCAUGACACCAUCUCCAACCUUAGAAAUGAGAAUGUUAAAUUAAUUACUAAGGUUGAUAAGUUAGAUGUUUGUGAUGAUUCACCUGUCAAACUUAAAAAUGAUAAUGCUAAUUUGAUUGCUAAAAUUGACAAGUUGAAUAAAUCACUCUCUAGCCUUAAAAUUGAGAAUGAAAAAUUAAUUGCUAAGGCUAAAGAUUUAAAAGUUUGCAAUGAUGUUAUUUCCAAUCUUAGAUAUGAAAAUGUCAUGUUACAUGCUAAGAUUGAUGAUUUAAAUGUUUGCAAACCCUCUACUUCUAGUGUUGAUCAUGUUUCUAUUUGUACUAGAUGUAGAGAUAUUAAUGUUGAUGCUAUUCAUGAUCACCUAGCUUUAAUUAAACAACAAAAUGAUCACAUAGCUCAACUUAGUGCUAAAAUUAAUGAGCAUGCCUUAGAAAAUGAAAAAUUUAAAUUUGCUAGAAGCAUGCUCUAUAGUGGGAGACACCCAGGCAUUAAGGAUGGUAUUGGCUUCCAAUAGGGAGGCAAUGUUAAAAUUAAUGCCUCUAAGAGAUUGUCUAACUUUGUUAAGGGCAAGGCUCCCAUGCCUCAGGAUAACGAGGGCUAUAUUUUAUAUCCUGCUGGUUAUCCUGAGAAUAAGAUUAGGAGAAUUCAUGCUAAGAAGACUCAUUCUGUUUCUCACCAUACUUUUAUUUAUAAGAAUGAGGCUUUUAGCUCUAGCCGUUCUACCCAUGUUAAAAUGCCUAAGAAGAAAUAUCCUAUUGCAUCAAAUGAUCAUAACAUUUCAUUUAAGACUUUUGAUGCUUCUUAUGUGCUUACUAACAAAUCAGGCAAAGUAGUUGCCAAAUAUGUUGGGGGCAAACACAAGGGGUCAAAGACUUGUGUUUGGGUACCCAAGGUGCCUGUUUCUAAUGUCAAAGGAUCCAAGACCGUUUGGGUACCUAAGAACAAGGCCUAAACUUGUUUUGUAGGUUUAUGCAUCCGGGGGCUCAAGUUGGAUCAUCGAUAGCGGGUGCACAAACCACAUGACUGGAGAGAAAAGAAUGUUCUCCUCCUAUGAGAAAAACUAAGAUCCCCAAAGAGCUAUCACAUUCGGGGAUGGAAAUCAAGGUUUGGUCAAACUCAAUUUCAUUUCUAACGCUAACCCUGGCUUGUAGUGUGUGCUUAAGUUUAUAAUUUUCAGAUUCCGCCUAUUCACUCCCCCUCUAGGCGACUUUCAACUUUGAGUACAGUGGAGUGUGCAUGCUGGCAGCCGAUGAACCUGCAUGUGUGGAGCAGGCUCUUUCACAGGACUGCUGGAAAAGAGCUAUGGAGGUUGAACUGAAGUCAAUUCAAGAAAGUCAGACCUGGGAGAUUGCUGAUCUGCCAAGGGAUCACAAGGCUAUAGGACUCAAAUGGGUUUUCAAAGUAAAGAGGGAUCCAACUGGGAAUAUUGUUAAGCACAAGGCUAGAUUGGUAGCUAAAGGAUAUGCUCAAAUCCAGGGGGUGGAUUAUGAUGAGGUUUUUGCCCCUGUGGCAAGGCUAGAGACAGUGAGAAUACUGUUGGCCAUAGCAGCCGAAGGGGAGUGGGAAGUGCAUCACAUGGAUGUGAAGUCUGCAUUCCUGAAUGGAGAUCUCAGAGAAGAAGUUUAUGUACUUCAACCACUAGGCUUUGUGUGUCCUGCAGCCAAAAGAAAGGUGUUAAAACUGAAGAAGGCCUUGUAUGGAUUGAAACAGGCUCCUCAAGCCUGGAAUGCAAAACUUGAUGAGGAGUUGACAAGGCUGGGUUUCAGAAGGAGUGUGGAGGAACAUACUGUUUACAAACGAGGAACAGGUGUAACCUUACUUCUAGUUGGUGUCUAUGUUGAUGAUCUCAUCAUUUGUGGGCCAAACAGCAAUGAGAUAGCUAUCUUCAAGCAACAGAUGAUGAAAAGGUUCAAUAUGUGUGAUCUAGGCCUAUUGAGUUACUACCUAGGCAUACAAGUAAAGCAGAAACCAGGGGAGAUCACUAUCUGUCAGAGUGCAUAUGCUGAAAAGAUACUGGAGAAUUGUGGUAUGCAGGGUUGUAAUCCUGUGGAUACACCAAUGGAGCAGCACCUAAAAUUGUUACCUGGGAAGCCUGAGCUGAUUUUGGAUGCAACAAAAUACAGAAGUCUUGUUGGUAGUUUGAGGUACUUGGUUAACACAAGACCUGAUCUUGCCUUCUCAGUAGGAAUGGUGAGUAGAUUUAUGGAAACACCAAAUGCUGAGCACUGGACAGCCAUCAAGCGAAUUAUCAGGUUUGUUGCAGGAACCAUCCAAUAUGGCUGCAAAUAUUCAAAGGGAGCAAAUGCAGUAUUAGUUGGCUACUCAUACAGUGACCAUGCAGGUGAUCUUGAGAGAAGAAAGAGCACAAGUGGGAUUGUAUUUUUCUUGGGCAACAAUGUCAUCACGUGGUGUUCACAGAAGCAAAGAGUGGUGUCACUGUCAUCUUGCGAAUCUGAAUAUAUAGCAGCAGCUUCAGCAGCCUGUCAGGGGGUGUGGUUGAGCAGGCUAUUGGGGGACCUUAUGUGCACUGAUGUGAAGCAUUUUUGUCUCCUCAUUGACAAUAAAUCGGCUCAAGAACUAAGCAAGAAUCUAGUCUAUCACGAAAGAAGCAAGCACAUAGAUACCAGGUAUCAUUACAUCAGAGAAUGUGUGGGAAAUGGUGUUCUGGAUGUGAAGCAUGUCAGCUCUGAAAAUCAGUUAGCAGAUAUACUUACGAAGCCUCUUGGCAGAAUCUGGUUCACUGAAUUGAGAAGACUGAUCGGGGUGGUCAAGAUUGGAGAGUGACAAGAUUAAGGGGGAGAAAUGUUGUUGUAAUCUUGUAGUGCGUCAACAGUACUUGCAUUAGUUGCACGUAGAUGCAUUAGUCUAUCGCGUGUGUUACUGCAUGGCAUAUUUGUUUUAGCGUAGAUCACGGCGAGCUGGAGACUGCACAGUCUGCGUCGUGACCGCGUCGUUUGGGUAUUCGCCGCCACCACCUGUACGCCGUGCAUGUCGCACGGGCCACCGAAAGAUGAGGGGCUUCGUGCAGCUGCGGGGAGUGGCGGGGAAGUCGGAUCACUCCGUGUAAUAAGACUAUGUUAAUGCAUCAGAAAUCGGUGCGCGAGUUGCAACCCAAAAACACCUCUGUCUCAACGUUCGUCCGUCGGCUCUGGUGAUCGCGCUCUGUCGUCGCGCUGCCACAGUUCGUGCUCAUCGCCGGCCGCCGUGUUUCGGUUCCAACAUUCAGAAACCCCCUGUUGCAGGCUUCAGGAACUAUGUCCAUUCAUAAUCAACUGCAACUAUGCAGCAAGGGUACCGAAACAGGUUCCAGCGAUGGUUCUUGUUUCUCUUAUCCAAGUGCCCAGAUUCAAACCACUAUGAUGCGACAGCACAUGCCUGUCAAACAAGAUGUAACGACAACGCAAUGGGCACAAAUCCUGCUACUCCGCUGUUCUUUAUACCUAAAAAACCAACAAAAACGAAGACGCCAAGAGGGUGCUACCUUUCUGAGUGUAUCUAGGAAGUCUAAAUCCUCGAGAGCACGAACAAAAGCAACCGAAGAAAACCAGCGCUGGCCCGUGUCCCCUGUUCCGCCACGCUGUUGAACAAAGCGCGGAACAGCACACAACACAGCAAGGCAAGGGAGGAAAGACCUACCCUGCCCGCCCCCCGCCGCCGCCGAUCAAGAGAAAACCGCAAAAACGAAGGAAGCGAGAUCACGGACCUUGAACGGAACCAGAUCCGCUGAACAAUGAAGCAGAGCACGAGCACGGUUUGGGGAAGAGGAAAGAACGGGGGCCGUGCAAUCGAGCGCGGAAAUUCGUGCAUGCACCAUGGGCCGCUCCCGUCUUGUACGGUUAGUUGGGCCCUUUAAACGGGCGAUGGGCGAGUUCGAUGCAGGAAACUGGCCCAUAGUCUGGCAUACAACGAUCAGUCGAUCAGGAUUUAGGAAGCAGAUGUUGAUGGGAUGAAAACGAAAAUGAAAUUUUUUUUUGUUACGAGAAAUUGUUUUCUAAAUUUUAUUAAAAUUUCGGUCUAAAUAAAAACAAAACCAAUUAUAGAAAAUAAGAAAGCUGAAAUUGUUUGAGUCUCUCCCUUUUGUUUUCGAAAAUUACUGUUGGAAGCCAAAAAAGGCUGUGCGGACGGUCCGGCCCUGAGGCCGGACGGUCCGCGGUUCGGACUGUCCGCAGUGGUGACGCGGACGGUCCGCGCGUGCGUAGAGUCAGUUAGGGUUCCUAGUUUCUCGCAGGAUUUGUUACCUAAAACCGUGGGAUUGACUCGAAAAUCAGUUCGAAGCGGAUCCAGACCUCCCCUUUAUAUAGAUGAAGGGCUACGGCCGAUUAAACCCCCCAACAAUCGAUCAAAUCAAGUCUAUUACUUGUUUUUACCUUAUGCAUUGGGAGUAGUUCUAGUCUAGCCCUAGUUUAGUAUUCCAAUCCCCAAAUUCUUCGCUUCUCUUCGACUCUACGUCGAUUAGAGGAGUCUAGGUCGGCCUGCCGAGCCUAGACAACCCCUAAAAUCUCUCCUCCCCGACGGGGUCCCUCCUGGGAGCGAGAUCCAGGCGCCGCCGACGACCUUUCGUCGCCCCUACGCACGCGCGGACCGUCCAGCCCCAGGGCGCGGACCGUCCGGCCGUCAGGCAGGGAACUCUAGCCCGCGCCAGGUCGCGGACCAUCCGGCCCCUGGCCGCGGACCGUCCGCGCCUGUGCAGAGAGCACCGCCGCCGGUUCUUGUUGAGUGUUUGGCGCCCGAAAAAGGUGUCAACAUACUUUUUGGCGACUCCGCUAGGGACUAGGUGUCUAGACGUGCUAAAAAUCGGCCUAUAGAUGGCCGGUUCUAAGGAUCACACCAAGAUCUCCACCACCAACAUCAUCAAGCCAGCCAUAGAGGCGCUCCCGGCUGAUGACCAAAGACCCUUUGAAGACCUCAUAAUACGCGAUGAGAAGGAGGUGAUGCGGCAAUGGAACGAACAACGCGACAAGGAAGAGGCGGAACAACUGCAUAAACUCUCCGAACGACGCAAGGAGGCGGCAGAAAAGUACUUGUCACACUUCACGGUGGAUCUGAAAGGGAAAUGUGCCCUUGGGCCAUUUCUAAGUAUUUUGGUGAUUGAGUGCAAACACAAGUGCAUAAAUGUGAAAAUAUGCCCAAGGAUGAACAAAGUGCAAAUCACAAGUUAAGGUAUGUUUCUAAGCCUUAGUACAUUGGUUUUGUGUACUAAUAUAUUUGUCUAAGUGUUAGAAACAGAUAGAAGAAGAGAAGAGAAGACUUGGCUGUGUACAGCCAAGGGGCUGCUUCGGUCUGGGGCACCGGACUGUCCGGUGGUGCACCGGACAGUGUCCUGUGGUGCACCGGACAGUGUCCGGUGCGCCAGGCUGCCUCGGCCGAAGAGGCCGCUCUCGGGUUAUUCUCCGGCGACUUCGGCUAAAAUUCACCAGACUGUCCGGUGUGCACCGGACUGUCCGGUGAGCCAACGGUCGGCCGGGCCAACGGUCGGCCGCGCGAUCGGCGCGCGACACGUGGCCGAGCCAACGGUCGGAAGGAAGCACCGGACUGUCCGGUGUGCACCGGACUGUCCGGUGUGCACCGGACUGUCCGGUGUGCACCGGACUGUCCGGUGCGCCAGAUCUGCAACGAUCGGCAACGGUCGGCUUCGCCAUUUAAGGAAACAAAUCGGGCACCGGACAGUGUCCGGUGUGCACCGGACUGUCCGGUGCGCCCGACGACAGAAGGCAAGGAUAGCCUUCCAGAUGUGUUCUCAACGGCUCCUAGCUGACUUGGGGCUAUAAAAGGGACCCCUAGGCGCAUGGAGGAGGAUACCAAGCAUUCCUACAACUCUUCUAAGCACCAAGACAUCAAUCUCACGCAUUCGUUUCAUUGUGAUAGCAUAUAGAGCUCUUGUGGAGUUGUGAACUCUUUGUGUUGCGUUGCGAGCUCUUGUUGCGACUUGUGUGCGUGGUGUUGCUCUGAUUUUCGAGUCUUGUGUGCGUUGCUCAUUCCCACCUUACUCCGUAUUUCUUUGUGAACUCAAUUGUAAGGGCGAGAGACUCCAAGUUGUGGAGAUUCCUCGCAAACGGGAAAAGAUCAAAGGAAAGAAAAACACCGUGGUAUUCAAGUUGAUCAUUGGAUCACUUGAGAGGAGUUGAGUGCAACUCUCGUCUGUUGGGACGCCACAACGUGGAGUAGGCAAGUUUUGUACUUGGCCGAACCACGGGAUAACCACCGUGUCAACUCUGUGAUUGCUUUCUUGUGGUUAUCGUGUUUUGAGUUCUCUCUAGCCACUUGGCCAUACUUGUACUAACCAUUAACAAGUUUUUGUGGCUUAAGUUUAAGUUUUUACAGGAUCACCUAUUCACCCCCCCCCCCUCUAGGUGCUCUCAAUUGGUAUCAGAGCCAUUCUCUUCAAGAAAGGGACUAACCGCCCGAGGAGAUGGAUCCUAAGGGGAAGGGAAUUGUGAUCAACGACAAGGAGAAGGAGUCCUUCGUCAACGAGCCAAGGGAUGACAAGUCAAAUGACUCGGGCUCGGGCCACAAGCGAAGAGAUGGGAAGAAGAAGAAGACAAGACGCAUCAAGGAGAUCGUCUACUACGACAGCGAUGAGUCCUCUUCUUCCCAAAAGGACGACGACCACGACAAACAAAGGAAACCGGUUAAUUCUAACUUUUCUUUUGACUACUCUCGUAUUCCGCAAAGUUCAAAUUCACAUUUGCUUUCUAUUCCACUCGGCAAGCCCCCACACUUUGAUGGGGAGGACUACGGAUUUUGGAGCCACAAAAUGCGUAGUCACCUAUUCUCUCUCCAUCCUAGCAUAUGGGAGAUUGUAGAUAGUGGAAUGCACUUUAAUAGUUCGGAUAGUCCUAUAUUCAUUAAUGAGCAAAUCCAUAAGAAUGCACAAGCUACUACUGUUCUUCUAGCCUCAUUGUGCAGGGAUGAAUAUAAUAAAGUGAGUGGCUUGGAUAACGCCAAGCAAAUCUGGGAUACCCUCAAGAUCUCUCAUGAGGGAAAUGACGCUACCUUGCUCACCAAAAUGGAGUUGGUGGAGGGCGAGCUUGGACGGUUCGCGAUGAUAAGGGGCGAGGAGCCAACUCAAACAUACAACCGGCUCAAGACCCUUGUCAACAAGAUAAGGAGCUAUGGAAGCACGCGAUGGACGGACCACGACGUCGUCCGCCUAAUGCUAAGGUCCUUUACUGUUCUUGAUCCUCAUUUGGUGAAUAAUAUUCGUGAGAAUCCCAGGUACACCAAAAUGUCGCCCGAAGAAAUUCUUGGAAAAUUUGUAAGCGGGCGGAUGAUGAUCAAGGAGGCAAGGUACGUCGAUGACGCGUUGAACGGUCCAAUCCACGAGCCUCAACCCAUUGCUCUCAAGGCAUCGAGGAGCAAGGAGGCACUACCAAGCAAGGUGGCGCAAAUUGAGGCGGCCGGGCUUAAUGAUGAAGAAAUGACUCUCAUCAUUAAGCGCUUCAAGACGGUGCUAAAGGGUCGCAAUGGACAGCCGAGCAAGACUAAGACCAAGGGGAAGCGAUCAUGCUUCAAAUGCGGUAAGCUUGGUCAUUUUAUUGCUAACUGUCCUGAUAAUGAAAGUGACCAGGAAAAGGGAAACAAGAGGGAAAAGAAGAAGCAUUAUAAGAAGGCAAAAGGCGAGGCACAUCUAGGCAAGGAGUGGGACUCGGAUUGCUCCUCGUCCGACUCCGACAAUGAAGGACUCGCCGCCACCGCCUUCAACAAAUCAACCCUCUUCCCAAACGAGCGUCACACAUGCCUUAUGGCAAGGGAGAAGAAGGUAUGUACUCGCAACUCUACCUAUCCUUCUUCAAGUGAGGACGAAUCUAGUGAUGAGGAUGAAGUAGAUUAUUCAUGUUUGUUCAAGGGCUUAGAUAGAUCUAAGAUAGACAAAAUUAAUGAAUUAAUUGAUGCCUUGAAUGAAAAGAAUAUACUUUUAGAAAAGCAAGAGGAUUUGUUGUAUGAAGAGCAUGAUAAAUUUGUUGAGGCACAAAAAUCCUAUGCUUUAGAAGUUAAAAGAAAUGAAAUGCUUUCUUUUGAACUAUCUACUUGUCAUGAAACCAUUUCUACUUUGAAAGGUGUCAACAAUGAUUUAAAUGCUAAACUAGAAGUAGCAAAUAAAUCCAAUUCUUGUGUAGAACAUGUUGAAAUUUGUACUAGGUGUAAAGAUUUUGACGUUGAUGCUUGUAGUGAACACCUAGUUUCAAUUUCCAAGCUUAAUGAUGAACUGGCUAGUCUUAAUGCUCAACUUAAGACUAGCAAGAAUGAUUUCGAUAAGCUAAAAUUUGCAAGGGAUGCCUACACAAUUGGUAGACACCCCUCAAUUAAGGAUGGACUUGGCUUCAAGAGAGAAGCUAAGAACUUAACAAGCCAUAAGGCUCCCAUUCCCGCCAAGGAGAAAGGGAAGGCCCCUAUGGCUAGUAAUGUGCAAAAGAACCAUGCUUUUAUGUACUAUGAUAGGAGAUAUUCUAGAAAUGCUUUUAGAGGUCAUGAUGUGUUUGAUUCACAUGCUUAUGACUCUUAUGCCAUGACUGCUUCUAGUUCUCAUGUUAUGCAUGGUAGAAAUAUGUCUAGGAGAAAUGCUAUUCAUCAUGUGCCUAGAAAGAAUGUUAUUCAUGCUCCUAGGAAAGUAGUGAAUGAACCGUCUACAAUUUAUUGUACUUUGAAUGCUUCCUUUGCAAUUUGUAGAAAGGAUAAGAAAAUUGUUGCUAGGAAGCUAGGGGCAAAAUGCAAGGGAGACAAAACUUGCAUUUGGGUCCCUAAGGAAAUUUGUAAUAACCUUGUAGGACCCAACAAGAGUUGGGUACCUAAGUCCCAAGCCUAAAUUUGCCUUGCAGGUUUAUGCAUCCGGGGGAUCAAGCUGGAUUAUCGACAGCGGAUGCACAAACCAUAUGACGGGGGAGAAGAAGAUGUUCACUUCCUACGUCAAGAAUAAGAAUUCCCAGGAUUCAAUUAUAUUCGGUGAUGGAAAUCAAGGCAAGGUAAAAGGUUUAGGUAAAAUUGCGAUUUCUAAUGAGCAUUCUAUCUCUAAUGUAUUUUUAGUAGAGAGUCUUGGAUAUAAUUUGCUAUCUGUUAGUCAAUUAUGUCAUAUGGGGUAUAACUGUCUAUUUACAAAUGUAGAUGUGUCUGUCUUUAGAAGAAGUGAUGGUUCACUAGCUUUUAAGGGUGUAUUAGACGGCAAACUUUAUUUAGUUGAUUUUGCAAAAGAAGAGGUCGGUCUAGAUGCAUGCUUAAUAGCUAAGACUAGCAUGGGCUGGCUGUGGCAUCGCCGCUUAGCACAUGUGGGGAUGAAGAACCUUCACAAGCUUCUAAAGGGAGAACACGUGAUAGGUCUAACUAAUGUUCAAUUCGAAAAAGAUAGACCUUGUGCAGCUUGUCAAGCAGGGAAACAGGUGGGAGGCUCUCAUCACACCAAAAAUGUGAUGACGACAUCAAGACCCUUGGAGAUGCUGCAUAUGGACCUUUUUGGACCCGUCGCCUAUCUGAGCAUAGGAGGAAGUAAGUAUGGUUUAGUUAUUGUUGAUGACUUUUCCCGCUUCACUUGGGUGUUCUUUUUGCAGGAAAAGUCCGAAACCCAAGGGACCCUCAAACGCUUCCUCAGGAGAGCUCAAAAUGAGUUUGAGCUCAAAGUGAAGAAGAUAAGGAGCGACAACGGAUCUGAGUUCAAGAAUCUUCAAGUGGAGGAGUUCCUUGAAGAAGAAGGGAUCAAGCACGAGUUCUCCGCUCCCUACACCCCACAGCAAAAUGGUGUGGUAGAGAGGAAGAACAGGACGCUCAUCGACAUGGCGAGGACGAUGCUAGGAGAGUUCAAGACCCCCGAGUGCUUCUGGACGGAAGCCGUUAACACUGCUUGCCACGCCAUCAACAGGGUCUACCUUCAUCGCCUCCUCAAGAAGACGUCGUAUGAGCUACUAACCGGUAACAAACCCAAUGUAUCGUACUUUCGUGUAUUUGGGAGUAAAUGCUACAUUCUAGUGAAGAAGGGUAGAAAUUCUAAGUUUGCUCCCAAAGCUGUAGAAGGGUUUUUGUUAGGUUAUGACUCAAAUACAAAGGCGUAUAGAGUCUUCAACAAAUCAUCGGGUUUGGUUGAAGUCUCUAGCGACGUUGUAUUUGAUGAGACUAAUGGCUCUCCAAGAGAGCAAGUUGUUGAUUGUGAUGAUGUAGAUGAAGAAGAUGUUCCGACGGCCGCUAUACGCACCAUGGCGAUUGGAGAAGUGCGGCCACAGGAACAAGAUGAGCAAGAUCAACCUUCUUCCUCAAUUAUGGUGCAUCCCCCGACUCAAGACGAUGAACAAGUUCAUCAAAAGGAGGCGUAUGAUCAAGGGGGAGCACAAGAUGAUAACGUGAUGGAGGAAGAAGCGCAACCGGCACCUCCAACCCAAGUUCGAGCGAUGAUUCAAAGGGAUCAUCCCGUCGACCAAAUUCUGGGUGACAUUAGCAAGGGAGUAACUACUCGAUCUCGAUUAGUUAAUUUUUGUGAGCAUUACUCCUUUGUCUCUUCUAUUGAGCCUUUUAGGGUAGAAGAGGCCUUGCUAGAUCCGGACUGGGUGUUGGCCAUGCAAGAGGAGUUAAACAACUUCAAGCGCAAUGAAGUUUGGACACUGGUGCCUCGUCCGAAGCAAAAUGUUGUGGGAACCAAGUGGGUGUUCCGCAACAAACAGGACGAGCACGGGGUGGUGACGAGGAACAAGGCUCGACUUGUGGCAAAAGGUUAUGCCCAAGUCGCAGGUUUGGAUUUCGAGGAGACUUUUGCUCCUGUGGCUAGGCUAGAGUCAAUUCGAAUCUUGCUAGCAUAUGCCGCUCACCAUUCUUUCAGGUUGUACCAAAUGGAUGUGAAGAGCGCUUUCCUCAACGGGCCAAUCAAGGAGGAGGUGUACGUGGAGCAACCCCCUGGCUUUGAGGAUGAACGGUACCCCGACCAUGUGUGUAAGCUCUCUAAGGCGCUCUAUGGACUUAAGCAAGCUCCAAGAGCAUGGUAUGAAUGCCUUAGAGAUUUCUUAAUUGCUAAUGCUUUCAAGGUUGGGAAAGCUGAUCCAACUCUUUUUACUAAGACUUGUGAUGGUGAUUUGUUUGUGUGCCAAAUUUAUGUCGAUGACAUAAUAUUUGGUUCUACUAACCAAAAGUCUUGUGAAGAGUUUAGCAGGGUGAUGACGCAGAAAUUCGAGAUGUCAAUGAUGGGCGAGUUGAACUACUUCCUUGGGUUCCAAGUGAAGCAACUCAAGGACGGCACCUUCAUCUCUCAAACAAAGUACACGCAAGAUCUGCUAAAGCGGUUUGGGAUGAAGGACGCCAAGCCCGCAAAGACGCCGAUGGGAACCGACGGACACACCGACCUCAACAAAGGAGGUAAGUCCGUUGAUCAAAAAGCAUACCGGUCAAUGAUAGGUUCGUUGCUUUAUUUAUGUGCUAGUAGACCGGACAUUAUGCUUAGUGUAUGCAUGUGUGCUAGAUUUCAAUCCGAUCCUAAGGAGUGUCACUUAGUGGCGGUGAAGCGAAUUCUUAGAUAUUUGGUUGCUACGCCUUGCUUCGGGCUCUGGUAUCCAAAGGGGUCUACCUUUGACUUAGUUGGAUACUCAGACUCCGACUAUGCUGGAUGUAAGGUCGAUAGGAAGAGUACAUCGGGGACGUGCCAAUUCUUAGGAAGGUCCCUGGUGUCAUGGAACUCUAAGAAACAAACAUCCGUUGCCCUAUCCACCGCUGAGGCCGAGUACGUUGCCGCAGGUCUGAAAGGGAAAUGUGCCCUUGGGCCAUUUCUAAGUAUUUUGGUGAUUGAGUGCAAACACAAGUGCUUAAAUGUGAAAAUAUGCCCAUGGAUGGACAAGUUGCAAAUCACAAGUUAAGGUAUGUUUCUAAGCCUUAGUACAUUGGUUUUGUGUACUAAUAUAUUUGUCUAAGUGUUAGAAACAGAAAGAAGAAGAAGAAGAGAAGACUUGGCUGUGUGCAGCCAAGGGGCUGCUUCGGUUUGGGGCACCGGACUGUCCGGUGGUGCACCGGACAGUGUCCGGUGGUGCACCGGACAGUGUCCGGUGCGCCAGGCUGCCUCGGCCGAAGAGGCCGCUCUCGGGUUUUUCUCCGGCGACUUCGGCUAAAAUUCACCGGACUGUCCGGUGUGCACCGGACUGUCCGGUGUGCACCGGACUGUCCGGUGAGCCAACGGUCGGCCGAGCCAACGAUCGGCCGCGCGAUCGGCGCGCGACACGUGGCCGAGCCAACGGUCGGAAGGAAGCACCGGACUGUCCGGUGUGCACCGGACUGUCCGGUGCGCCAGAUCUGCAACGGUCGACAACGGUCGGCUUCGCCAUUUAAGGAAACAAAUCGGGCACCGGACAGUGUCCGGUGUGCACCGGACUGUCCGGUGCGCCACGAGACAGAAGGCAAAGAUGGCCUUCCAGAUUUGUUCCCAACGGCUCCUAGCUGCCUUGGGGCUAUAAAAGGGACCCCUAGGCGCAUGGAGGAGCACACCAAGCAUUCCUACAACUCUUCUAAGCACCAAGACAUCAAUCUCACGCAUUCGUUUCAUUGUGAUAGCAUAUAGAGCUCUUGUGGAGUUGUGAACUCUUUGUGUUGCGUUGCGAGCUCUUGUUGCGACUUGUGUGCGUGUUGUUGCUCUGAUUUUCGAGUCUUGUGUGCGUUGCUCAUUCCCACCUUACUCCGUAUUUCUUUGUGAACUCAAUUGUAAGGGCGAGAGACUCCAAGUUGUGGAGAUUCCUCGCAAACGGGAAAAGAUCAAAGGAAAGAAAAACACCGUGGUAUUCAAGUUGAUCAUUGGAUCACUUGAGAGGAGUUGAGUGCAACUCUCGUCCGUUGGGACGCCACAACGUGGAGUAGGCAAGUUUUGUACUUGGCCGAACCACGGGAUAACCACCGUGUCAACUCUGUGAUUGCUUUCUUGUGGUUAUCGUGUUUUGACUCCUCUCUAGCCACUUGGCCAUACCUGUGCUAACUCUUAACAAGUUUUUGUGGCUUAAGUUUUUGAAGUUUUACAGGAUCACCUAUUCACCCCCCCCCUCUAGGUGCUCUCAAUUGGUAUCAGAGCCGUUCUCUUCAAGAAAGGGACUAACCGCCCGAAGAGAUGGAUCCUAAGGGGAAGGGAAUUGUGAUCAACGACAAGGAGAAGGAGUCCUUCGUCAACGAGCCAAGGGAUGACAAGUCCAAUGACUCGGGCUCGGGCCACAAGCGAAGAGAUGGGAAGAAGAAGAAGACAAGACGCAUCAAGGAGAUCGUCUACUACGACAGCGAUGAGUCCUCUUCUUCCCAAAAGGACGACGACCACGACAAACAAAGGAAACCGGUUAAUUCUAACUUUUCUUUUGACUACUCUCGUAUUCCGCAAAGUUCAAAUUCACAUUUGCUUUCUAUUCCACUCGGCAAGCCCCCACACUUUGAUGGGGAGGACUACGGAUUUUGGAGCCACAAAAUGCGUAGUCACCUAUUCUCUCUCCAUCCUAGCAUAUGGGAGAUUGUAGAUAGUGGAAUGCACUUUAAUAGUUCGGAUAGUCCUAUAUUCAUUAAUGAGCAAAUCCAUAAGAAUGCACAAGCUACUACUGUUCUUCUAGCCUCAUUGUGCAGGGAUGAAUAUAAUAAAGUGAGUGGCUUGGAUAACGCCAAGCAAAUCUGGGAUACCCUCAAGAUCUCUCAUGAGGGAAAUGACGCUACCUUGCUCACCAAAAUGGAGUUGGUGGAGGGCGAGCUUGGACGGUUCGCGAUGAUAAGGGGCGAGGAGCCAACUCAAACAUACAACCGGCUCAAGACCCUUGUCAACAAGAUAAGGAGCUACGGAAGCACGCGUUGGACGGAUCACGACGUCGUCCGCCUAAUGCUCAGGUCAUUUACCGUUCUUGAUCCUCAUCUCGUGAACAAUAUUCGUGAGAAUCCCAGGUACACGAUGAUGACGCCCGAAGAAGUACUUGGAAAAUUUGUGAGCGGGCGGAUGAUGAUCAAGGAGGCAAGAUACGUCGACGACGCGUUGAACGGUCCACUCCACGAGUCUCAACCCAUUGCUCUAAAAGCAACAAGGAGCAAGGAGUCGCUACCUAGCAAAGUGGCACAAAUUGAGGCGGCCGGUCUUAAUGAAGAAGAAAUGGCCCUCAUUAUCAAGAGAUUCAAGACGGUGCUAAAGGGUCGCAAUGGACAGCCGAGCAAGACUAAAACCAAGGGGAAGCGAUCAUGCUUCAAAUGCGGUAAGCUUGGUCAUUUUAUUGCUAACUGUCCUGAUAAUGAAAGUGACCAGGAAAAGGGAAACAAGAGGGAAAAGAAGAAGCAUUAUAAGAAGGCAAAGGGUGAGGCGCAUCUAGGCAAGGAGUGGGACUCGGAUUGCUCCUCGUCCGACUCCGACAAUGAAGGACUCGCCGCCACCGCCUUCAACAAAUCAACCCUCUUCCCCAACGAGCGUCACACAUGCCUUAUGGCAAGGGAGAAGAAGGUAUGUACUCGCAACUCUACCUAUGCUUCUUCAAGUGAGGACGAAUCUAGUGAUGAGGAUGAAGUAGAUUAUUCAUGUUUAUUCAAGGGCUUAGAUAGAUCUAAGAUAGACAAAAUUAAUGAAUUAAUUGAUGCCUUGAAUGAAAAGAAUAUACUUUUAGAAAAGCAAGAGGAUUUGUUGUAUGAAGAGCAUGAUAAAUUUGUUGAGGCACAAAAAUCCUAUGCUUUAGAAGUUAAAAGAAAUGAAAUGCUCUCUUUUGAACUAUCUACUUGUCAUGAAACCAUUUCUACUUUGAAAAGUGUCAACAAUGAUUUAAAUGCUAAAUUAGAAGUAGCAAAUAAAUCCAAUUCUUGUGUAGAACAUGUUGAAAUUUGUACUAGGUGUAAAGAUUUUGACAUUGAUGCUUGUAGUGAACACCUAGUUUCAAUUUCCAAGCUUAAUGAUGAACUGGCUAGUCUUAAUGCUCAACUUAAGACUAGCAAAAGUGAUUUUGAAAAACUAAAAUUUGCUAGGGAUGCCUACACGGUUGGUAGACACCCCUCAAUUAAGGAUGGACUUGGCUUCAAAAGGGAAGCCAAGAACUUAACAAGCCAUAAGGCUCCCAUUCCCGCCAAGGAGAAAGGGAAGGCUCCUAUGGCUACUAGUGCUAAAAGGAACCAUGCAUUUUUGUAUCAUGAUAGAAGACAAACUAGAAAUGUAAGUCAUGAUGCUUUUGAUUCAUAUGUUUAUGAUUCUCAUGCCAUGUUUGCUCCUAGUUCCUCUUAUGUGUAUGAUAGAAAUGUUACUAGGAGAAAUGUUGUUCCUAAAAGAAAUGCUAUUCAUCAUGUGCCUAGAAGGAAUGUUAUUCAUGCUCCUAGGAAAGUAGUGAAUGAAUCUUCUACAAUUUAUUGUGCUUUGAAUGCUUCAUUUGCAAUUUGUAGAAAGGAUAGAAAAGUAAUUGCUAGGAAGUUAGGGGCAAAAUGCAAAGGUGAUAAAACUUGCAUUUGGGUCCCUAAGGAAAUUGUGACUAACCUUGUAGGACCCAACAAGAGUUGGGUACCUAAGUCCCAAGCCUAAAUUUGCCUUGCAGGUUUAUGCAUCCGGGGGUUCAAGCUGGAUUAUCGACAGCGGAUGCACAAACCAUAUGACGGGGGAGAAGAAGAUGUUCACCUCCUACGUCAAGAAUAAAGAUUCCCAAGAUUCAAUUGUAUUCGGUGAUGGGAAUCAAGGCAAGGUAAAAGGUUUAGGUAAAAUUGCAAUUUCUAAUGAGCACUCCAUAUCUAAUGUAUUUUUAGUAGAGAGUCUUGGAUAUAAUUUGCUAUCUGUUAGUCAAUUAUGUCAUAUGGGGUAUAACUGUCUAUUUACAAAUGUAGAUGUGUCUGUCUUUAGAAGAAGUGAUGGUUCACUAGCUUUUAAGGGUGUAUUAGACGGCAAACUUUAUUUAGUUGAUUUUGCAAAAGAAGAGGCCGGUCUAGAUGCAUGCUUAAUGGCUAAGACUUGCAUGGGCUGGCUGUGGCAUCGCCGCUUAGCACAUGUGGGGAUGAAGAACCUUCACAAGCUUCUAAAGGGAGAACACGUGAUAGGUCUAACCAAUGUUCAAUUCGAAAAAGAUAGACCUUGUGCAGCUUGUCAAGCAGGGAAACAGGUGGGAGGAGCGCAUCACAGCAAGAAUGUGAUGACCACUUCAAGACCCCUGGAGCUGCUGCAUAUGGACCUCUUCGGACCCGUCGCCUAUCUAAGCAUAGGGGGGAGUAAGUAUGGUCUAGUUAUUGUAGAUGAUUUUUCCCGCUUCACUUGGGUGUUCUUUUUGCAGGAUAAGUCUGAAACCCAAGGGACCCUCAAGCGCUUUCUCAGGAGAGCUCAAAAUGAGUUUGAGCUCAAAGUGAAGAAGAUAAGGAGCGACAACGGGUCCGAGUUCAAGAACCUUCAAGUGGAGGAGUUCCUUGAAGAUGAAGGGAUCAAGCACGAGUUCUCCGCUCCCUACACACCACAGCAAAAUGGUGUGGUAGAGAGGAAGAACAGGACGCUCAUCGACAUGGCGAGGACGAUGCUAGGAGAGUUCAAGACCCCCGAGUGCUUUUGGACGGAAGCCGUGAACACGGCAUGCCACGCCAUCAACAGGGUCUACCUUCAUCGCCUCCUCAAGAAGACGUCGUAUGAGCUACUAACCGGUAACAAACCCAAUGUAUCGUACUUUCGUGUAUUUGGGAGUAAAUGCUACAUUCUAGUGAAGAAGGGUAGAAAUUCUAAGUUUGCUCCCAAAGCUGUAGAAGGGUUUUUAUUAGGUUAUGACUCAAAUACAAAGGCGUAUAGAGUCUUCAACAAAUCAUCGGGUUUGGUUGAAGUCUCUAGCGACGUUGUAUUUGAUGAGACUAAUGGCUCUCCAAGAGAGCAAGUUGUUGAUUGUGAUGAUGUAGAUGAAGAAGAUGUUCCGACGGCCGCUAUACGGACCAUGGCGAUUGGAGAAGUACGGCCACAGGAACAAGAUGAUCAAGAUCAACCCUUUUCCUCAAUUAUGGUGCAUCCCCCGACUCAAGACGGUGAACAGGUUCAUCAAAAGGAGGCAUGUGAUCAAGGGGGAGCACAAGAUAAUCAUGUGAUGGAGGAAGAAGCGCUACCGGCACCUCCAACCCAAGUUCGAGCGAUGAUUCAAAGGGAUCAUCCCGUCGACCAAAUUCUGGGUGACAUUAGCAAGGGAGUAACUACUCGAUCUCGAUUAGUUAAUUUUUGUGAGCAUUACUCCUUUGUCUCUUCUAUUGAGCCUUUCAGGGUAGAAGAGGCCUUGCUAGAUCCGGACUGGGUGUUGGCCAUGCAAGAGGAGUUAAACAACUUCAAGCGCAAUGAAGUUUGGACACUGGUGCCUCGUCCGAAGCAAAAUGUUGUGGGAACCAAGUGGGUGUUCCGCAACAAACAGGACGAGCACGGGGUGGUGACGAGGAACAAGGCUCGACUUGUGGCAAAAGGUUAUGCCCAAGUCGCAGGUUUGGACUUUGAGGAGACCUUUGCUCCUGUGGCUAGGCUAGAGUCCAUUCGUAUUUUGCUAGCAUAUGCCGCUCACCAUUCUUUCAGGUUGUACCAAAUGGAUGUGAAGAGCGCUUUCCUCAACGGGCCAAUCAAGGAGGAGGUGUACGUGGAGCAACCCCCUGGCUUCGAGGAUGAACGGUACCCCGACCACGUGUGUAAGCUCUCUAAGGCGCUCUAUGGACUUAAGCAAGCCCCAAGAGCAUGGUAUGAAUGCCUUAGAGAUUUCUUAGUUGCUAAUGCUUUCAAGGUUGGGAAAGCCGAUCCAACUCUUUUUACAAAGACAUGUGAUGGUGAUUUGUUUGUGUGCCAAAUUUAUGUCGAUGACAUAAUAUUUGGUUCUACUAACCAAAAGUCUUGUGAAGAGUUUAGCAGGGUGAUGACGCAGAAAUUCGAGAUGUCGAUGAUGGGCGAGUUGAACUACUUCCUUGGGUUCCAAGUGAAGCAACUCAAGGACGACACCUUCAUCUCCCAAACGAAGUACACGCAAGAUCUGCUAAAGCGGUUUGGGAUGAAGGACGCCAAGCCCGCAAAGACUCCGAUGGGGACCGACGGACACACCGACCUCAACAAAGGAGGUAAGUCCGUUGAUCAAAAAGCAUACCGGUCAAUGAUAGGUUCUUUGCUUUACUUAUGUGCUAGUAGACCGGAUAUUAUGCUUAGCGUAUGCAUGUGUGCUAGAUUUCAAUCCGAUCCUAAGGAGUGUCACUUAGUGGCGGUGAAGCGAAUUCUUAGAUAUUUAGUUGCUACGCCUUGCUUCGGGCUCUGGUAUCCAAAGGGGUCUACCUUUGACUUAGUUGGAUACUCAGACUCCGACUAUGCUGGAUGUAAGGUCGAUAGGAAGAGUACAUCGGGGACGUGCCAAUUCUUAGGAAGGUCCCUGGUGUCAUGGAACUCUAAGAAACAAACCUCCGUUGCCCUAUCCACCGCUGAGGCCGAGUAUGUUGCCGCAGGACAGUGUUGCGCGCAACUACUUUGGAUGAGGCAAACCCUCAGGGACUUUGGCUACAAUCUGAGCAAAGUCCCACUCCUAUGUGACAAUGAGAGUGCUAUCCGCAUGGCGGAAAAUCCUGUUGAACACAGCCGCACAAAGCACAUAGACAUCCGGCAUCACUUUUUGAGAGACCACCAGCAAAAGGGAGAUAUCGAAGUGUUUCAUGUUAGCACCGAGAACCAGCUAGCCGAUAUCUUCACUAAGCCUCUAGAUGAGAAGACCUUUUGCAGGUUGCGUAGUGAGCUAAAUGUCUUAGAUUCACGGAACUUGGAUUGAAUUGUAGCAUACAUGUGUUUAUGCAUUUGAUCAGGUUCAUUCUGCAUUUUGUUGCUUAUUGUGGUGCUCAAGUUGUACCAACACUCCCUGGACCUCACAAGUCCGUUGCAAAGUGAUGCACAUGUUUAGGGGGAGAUGUGUUACAACUUGACCCUUUGAGACUAACCAUUUGCUUGAGUUUGCUUGAUUUAGUCUCGAAGGAGGAUUGAAAGGGAAAAGGUGGACUUGGACCAUGAAAGACUUCCACUGCACUCCGAUGAGAGGGUAACUAAUUCCAAGUUCAUCUCAUGAAAUCUUAUUGCCAUUUGCUCUUAAUUGAAGACUUUGGUGAGGCAAUGGGGUUAAAAGGCCAAGAUUAAUCCCGUUUUGGUGCUUGAUGCCAAAGGGGGAGAAAAUAAAGGCCAAAGUGAUAAAUGGAUCAGCUACCACUUGAGAGAUUUUGAAAAUAGUAGAAUAGAGUUUUUGUUUUGUCAAAAGCUUUUAGUGUCUCUUUUAUUGUCUCUCUUGUCAAAAGUUGGCUUCUUGUGGGGAGAAGUAUUGAUUAUGGGGAAUAGGGGGAGUUUUUGAAAUCUUUGAUCAAUCUCUUUUGGAAUGACUCUCUUUAUGCUUCAACAUGUGUGUUUGACAUAGAAAUAGAGAUUUGAGUUUGAUUUGCAAAAACAAACCAAGUGGUGGCAAAGGAUGAUCCAUAUAUGCCAAAAUUGAAUAAAACCAAUUUGAGUUUUUAUUUGAAGUGAUUUUGCACUUGUUCUAGUUGCUUUAUGUUGUGUUGGCAUAAAUCACCAAAAAGGGGGAGAUUGAAAGGGAAAUGUGCCCUUGGGCCAUUUCUAAGUAUUUUGGUGAUUGAGUGCAAACACAAGUGCUUAAAUGUGAAAAUAUGCCCAUGGAUGGACAAGUUGCAAAUCACAAGUUAAGGUAUGUUUCUAAGCCUUAGUACAUUGGUUUUGUGUACUAAUAUAUUUGUCUAAGUGUUAGAAACAGAAAGAAGAAGAAGAAGAGAAGACUUGGCUGUGUGCAGCCAAGGGGCUGCUUCGGUUUGGGGCACCGGACUGUCCGGUGGUGCACCGGACAGUGUCCGGUGGUGCACCGGACAGUGUCCGGUGCGCCAGGCUGCCUCGGCCGAAGAGGCCGCUCUCGGGUUUUUCUCCGGCGACUUCGGCUAAAAUUCACCGGACUGUCCGGUGUGCACCGGACUGUCCGGUGAGCCAACGGUCGGCCGAGCCAACGGUCGGCCGCGCGAUCGGCGCGCGACACGUGGCCGAGCCAACGGUCGGAAGGAAGCACCGGACUGUCCGGUGUGCACCGGACUGUCCGGUGCGCCAGAUCUGCAACGGUCGGCAACGGUCGGCUUCGCCAUUUAAGGAAACAAAUCGGGCACCGGACAGUGUCCGGUGUGCACCGGACUGUCCGGUGCGCCACGAGACAGAAGGCAAAGAUGGCCUUCCAGAUUUGUUCCCAACGGCUCCUAGCUGCCUUUGGGCUAUAAAAGGGACCCCUAGGCGCAUGGAGGAGCACACCAAGCAUUCCUACAACUCUUCUAAGCACCAAGACAUCAAUCUCACGCAUUCGUUUCAUUGUGAUAGCAUAUAGAGCUCUUGUGGAGUUGUGAACUCUUUGUGUUGCGUUGCGAGCUCUUGUUGCGACUUGUGUGCGUGUUGUUGCUCUGAUUUUCGAGUCUUGUGUGCGUUGCUCAUUCCCACCUUACUCCGUAUUUCUUUGUGAACUCAAUUGUAAGGGCGAGAGACUCCAAGUUGUGGAGAUUCCUCGCAAACGAGAAAAGAUCAAAGGAAAGAAAAACACCGUGGUAUUCAAGUUGAUCAUUGGAUCACUUGAGAGGAGUUGAGUGCAACUCUCGUCCGUUGGGACGCCACAACGUGAAGUAGGCAAGUUUUGUACUUGGCCGAACCACGGGAUAACCACCGUGUCAACUCUGUGAUUGCUUUCUUGUGGUUAUCGUGUUUUGACUCCUCUCUAGCCACUUGGCCAUACCUGUGCUAACUCUUAACAAGUUUUUGUGGCUUAAGUUUUUGAAGUUUUACAGGAUCACCUAUUCACCCCCCCCCCCUCUAGGUGCUCUCAAGGUCAGUGUUGCGCGCAACUACUUUGGAUGAGGCAAACCCUCCGGGACUUUGGCUACAAUCUGAGCAAAGUCCCACUCCUAUGUGACAAUGAGAGUGCUAUCCGCAUGGCGGAAAAUCCUGUUGAACACAGCCGCACAAAGCACAUAGACAUCCGGCAUCACUUUUUGAGAGAUCACCAGCAAAAGGGAGAUAUCGAAGUGUUUCAUGUUAGCACCGAGAACCAGCUAGCCGAUAUCUUCACUAAGCCUCUAGAUGAGAAGACCUUUUGCAGGUUGCGUAGUGAGCUAAAUGUCUUAGAUUCGCGGAACUUGGAUUGAAUUGUAGCAUACAUGUGUUUAUGCAUUUGAUCAGGUUCAUUCUGCAUUUUGUUGCUUAUUGUGGUGCUCAAGUUGUACCAACACUCCCUGGACCUCACAAGUCCGUUGCAAAGUGAUGCACAUGUUUAGGGGGAGAUGUGUCACAACUUGACCCUUUGAGACUAACCAUUUGCUUGAGUUUGCUUGAUUGAGUCUCGAAGGAGGAAUGAAAGGGAAAAGGUGGACUUGGACCAUGAAAGACUUCCACUGCACUCCGAUGAGAGGGUAACUAAUUCCAAGUUCAUCUCAUGAAAUCUUAUUGCCAUUUGCUCUUAAUUGAAGACUUUGGUGAGGCAAUGGGGUUAAUAGGCCAAGAUUGAUCCCGUUUUGGUGCUUGAUGCCAAAGGGGGAGAAAAUAAAGGCCAAAGUGAUAAAUGGAUCAGCUACCACUUGAGAGAUUUUGAAAAUAGUAGAAUAGAGUUUUUGUUUUGUCAAAAGCUUUUAUUGUCUCUUAUUGUCUCUAGUGUCAAAAGUUGGCUUCUUGUGGGGAGAAGUAUUGAUUAUGGGAAAUAGGGGGAGUUUUUGAAAUCUUUGAUCAAUCUCUUUUAGAAUGACUCUCUUUAUACUUCAACGUGUGUGUUUGACUUAGAGAUAGAGAUUUGAGUUUGAUUUGCAAAAACAAACCAAGUGGUGGCAAAGGAUGAUCCAUAUAUGCCAAAAUUGAAUAAAACUCAAAGUUAGUUUUUAUUUGAAGUGAUUUUACACUUGUUCUAGUUGCUUUAUGUUGUGUUGGCAUAAAUCACCAAAAAGGGGGAGAUUGAAAGGGAAAUGUGCCCUUGGGCCAUUUCUAAGUAUUUUGGUGAUUGAGUGCAAACACAAGUGCUUAAAUGUGAAAAUAUGCCCAAGGAUGAACAAAGUGCAAAUCACAAGUUAAGGUAUGUUUCUAAGCCUUAGUACAUUGGUUUUGUGUACUAAUAUAUUUGUCUAAGUGUUAGAAACAGAUAGAAGAAGAGAAGAGAAGACUUGGCUGUGUACAGCCAAGGGGCUGCUUCGGUCUGGGGCACCGGACUGUCCGGUGGUGCACCGGACAGUGUCCGGUGGUGCACCGGACAGUGUCCGGUGCGCCAGGCUGCCUCGGCCAAAGAGGCCGCUCUCGGGUUAUUCUCCGGCGACUUCGGCUAAAAUUCACCAGACUGUCCGGUGUGCACCGGACUGUCCGGUGAGCCAACGGUCGGCCGGGCCAACGGUCGGCCGCGCGAUCGGCGCGCGACACGUGGCCGAGCCAACGGUCGGAAGGAAGCACCGGACUGUCCGGUGUGCACCGGACUGUCCGGUGCGCCAGAUCUGCAACGGUCGGCAACGGUCGGCUUCGCCAUUUAAGGAAACAAAUCGGGCACCGGACAGUGUCCGGUGUGCACCGGACUGUCCGGUGCGCCCGACGACAGAAGGCAAGGAUAGCCUUCCAGAUGUGUUCUCAACGGCUCCUAGCUGACUUGGGGCUAUAAAAGGGACCCCUAGGCGCAUGGAGGAGGAUACCAAGCAUUCCUACAACUCUUCUAAGCACCAAGACAUCAAUCUCACGCAUUCGUUUCAUUGUGAUAGCAUAUAGAGCUCUUGUGGAGUUGUGAACUCUUUGUGUUGCGUUGCGAGCUCUUGUUGCGACUUGUGUGCGUGGUGUUGCUCUGAUUUUCGAGUCUUGUGUGCGUUGCUCAUUCCCACCUUACUCCGUAUUUCUUUGUGAACUCAAUUGUAAGGGCGAGAGACUCCAAGUUGUGGAGAUUCCUCGCAAACGGGAAAAGAUCAAAGGAAAGAAAAACACCGUGGUAUUCAAGUUGAUCAUUGGAUCACUUGAGAGGAGUUGAGUGCAACUCUCGUCCGUUGGGACGCCACAACGUGGAGUAGGCAAGUUUUGUACUUGGCCGAACCACGGGAUAACCACCGUGUCAACUCUGUGAUUGCUUUCUUGUGGUUAUUGUGUUUUGAGUUCUCUCUAGCCACUUGGCCAUACUUGUACUAACCAUUAACAAGUUUUUGUGGCUUAAGUUUAAGUUUUUACAGGAUCACCUAUUCACCCCCCCCCUCUAGGUGCUCUCAGGAUCGCCACCAGAAGAUCAUCCGUCAAGGGGAGAUCGAUAUGGAAUCUCUCCUACCUCCACUUCAGGGUCCCGCUGUAAGUACUCCAGAUCUAUCUCUUACGACUUUCAUGGAUCAACGAGGAGAUCAGUUAAAGCAAUAUGUAGAUGAAUCUAUUAAAAUGCAUUUACGUGCAUACGAGAAAUCAGCUGCUCCUAGCUUUCCAUCGCGAGAGUCUAAUUCAGAGCCACCCGCGUCAAACACAUCGGCUAUAAACGGGUCGCCCUUGACCCAGCCAUCAUAUGGUAUGCCGAUGCACACUUUCGUGUCACCAUCACAGCCGCAACCACUAGGCACGCGACAGGUACUGGACACGACCGGACCGUCCGAGCAUCAUCUCAGACAGUCCGAUUAUACCGCGGACCGUCCGGCGUAUUUCGCCGGACCAUCCGACCAGAUGCGCAGCAUACAACUCCCCGUUGUACUGCGCUCUUCAAGUGUGCUUCUUCCCCCUUCUCCCCCUUACCACGGCAAGUCCUUGGGAAAUAACUCCGAUGGGCAGAAAAAAGAAGGGGUUAAGAGACCCUCCUGGCCCAACCCUAGACACUCUAAGAUCCUUUUUCAAACCUGCUCUGCUCCCAUUUCGAGUCAAGAGAUAGAUAAAUAGCCACAUCCCAUUGCACUGAUCGGGGGCGCUCGUAGUCAUGCCCGCACACAAAACACUCAGGUCGCACCAUACAUGGCCGGACCACCAGGGUACAACCCCGAACAAUUCGGCCCCAUCACGGACCGUCCGGUGCAUCACACCGGACUGUCCGGAUAUGUUGCGGACCUUCCGCCAUCUUACGUCGGACCGUCCGGAUAUGGCAUGAAUCGGCCGACGUAUUAUGCCGGGCCAUCUGACUCUACACGAGUCCACACGCGGACUGCCCAAGUCGCGCCAUAUAUGACCGAUCCGUCCGGGUACAGCCCUGGACCAUUCGGACCGAUCGCGGACCGUCCAGUUCUUUACGACAGACGGUCUGGGUACGAGACUACCCACGUAGCACCAUAUACGGCUGGACAAUCCGGAUAUACCUUCGGACCAUUUGGCCAGGUCGCGGACCAUCCGACCUCUUACGCCGGACCGUCCGGAUAUGCAUACGCAGAGCCGAGAGCUGUGCAAUACGCACAGUUCCCACAUUCAUCGCAGCAACAUCAUGGUGCCCCACCGGUAACACAUUAUAAUCAUGCCAUACCACCUCAUGGACAUAGGGCUGAAUACUGUUCGGUCACAAGAGAGCCUGAGAGGUAUAGGGCAGGAGCUGGUGACAUUAAUAGGACACCUAGCACACACCUCAAACAUCCCUGGGAGGAAAUCCGACAGAGUGAUGUCAGGCAACCUGAGAUUUCCACCCACAAACUCAAUGAAUGGUCGCUAGACAUGGCGGAGAGGAUCAGAGACGAGGUAGCCGGGAUGUUCAGGGACAAACUCGGUGUUAGUGUGCCAGGUACAGGGCAAUCGUAUCGGAAGCCUUAUAGCCACCGAUUCGACACCGUGUCAUAUCCACAGGGAACUAGAAUACCAGACUUCUCUAAAUUUUCUGGUGAAGGUGGGAAAAGCACACACGAACAUAUAAGCCAAUUCAUAGCACACUUGGGAGAAUUGGCUUAUGGGGAAGCCUACCGCGUUCGUUUAUUCCCGUUGUCCCUUACUGAUACUGCAUUCGCAUGGUACGCAGCCUUGCCACCAAACUCUAUUAACUCUUGGGAAGAAUUAGAGCAGAAAUUUCAUGAACACUUCUUCUCAGGAGAACAUGAAUUAGAAUUGGCUGACUUAGCCUCAGUCCGACAGGGGCCUGAAGAAUCGGUUAAUGACUAUAUCCGGAGAUUCCGGGACACUAGAAACCGAUGUUUUCAGAUCCAUGUCGCAGAAAAACAACUAACAGGGCUGGCUUUCAAUGGGUUGCGACCCUACUUAAAAGAAAAAUUAGAUGACACUCAAUUCUUUUCGCUAGUACACUUGCACCAGCGGGCUAUGACCUGUGAAAGCCGAAGUAAGGAAACAUCAAAAUCGGCUAGCCAUAAGAUGCAUCUAGUGGGAUACGAUAAUUCGGACGAUGAAUCCACGGAUGUAUACACCGCCGAACUAGUUUGGCCAGGACAGGCUAAACCUUCCGCAUGUUCUGCUUUACAGUCGAUUCGAAAGAAUCGACAAGAAGAAGUUAAGUUUACUUUUAAUGUUGCCAAAUACGAUAAAAUAUUUGACGAGUUACUAAAAAACGGCAACAUUAAGUUAACUCAUACUAUUCCUCCUCCUGAUGAAUUAAAGAGGCAUGCUUAUUGUAAGUGGCAUAAUUCCUUUUCUCAUGCCACCAAUGAUUGUAAUGUUUUUCGUCGACAGAUACAAUCGGCCAUAAAUGAGGGCCGAUUGGCUUUUCAGGAGAUGCAAGUAGACACACAACCUUUUCCUGUUAAUACAAUAGAACUCACAUGCAAAAAGGUCUUGGUUCGGCCCGAAAUGGCCGAUAAAGGCCAAGGCAAAGGCAUCGUCAUUAGCGAUCCUCGCAUGUCACUUAUAUCACAAAAGGAGAUUGCUCGAAAGGCUUCGGACGAGAAGGCUAAAAAGUCCGAAGACGCCGGGGCAGGCACAAUUAAUGAACUAAACUCAUCAGCCUAGCCCGAGCAUCGCAAAUGGUCCGGCACCUACGUGCGGACGGUCCGGUGCUCAGAUAAACGGUCCGGCUAACUCAGCCGGACAGUCCACUUAUGACCAAAGGCAUCAGCCUCUACACGAAGCAAGGAAAAAGACGCAAGGUCAAAGCACAUAUAGUCGGCUGAUCAAAGCCGACCCUACUUUUGAUCAGUUGCUCUCCAAAAAUGCUAGCAAAAAGACUGUUCCACGUGAUCGGUCAACAAAGAAACCUCGGUCACCUGCUAAAACGAAAUGGCCGAACAAAAUGGCCCAAAAGGCGACGCGACAAGCAUCGCCUAUUCAUCCUAUGAGACCAGGGUACUUUCCACCUGUUUAUUCAUCGUCGGUAUAUUGUCCUACUCAAAUGUGGAAUGGCAUGACGAUGAAUCCAUGGUACAUGUAUAGUCCCUUUGUCUAUCUAGGCUGGGGGGCACCUCCAUUCUAUUCAUUCUGAUGCAUUGAUCAAAUGGUCGUGGCCAAGAAAGAUACAAUCCAAAACGGCCUUUAUACAUUGGUGCUUUAUUGAAUGAUCUCUAUUUUGAAAAGCCGGUGACUUACAUCAGGUUUAGUUCAUAUGCUUUUGGUUCGUUAACCUUCACCAAAAGGCAGGGGCAUAUGUUGGAAGCCAAAAAAGGUUGUGCGGACGGUCCGGCCCUGAGGCCGGACUGUCCGCGGUGGUGACGCGGACGGUCCGCGCGUGCGCAGAGUCAGUUAGGGUUCCUAGUUUCUCGUGGGAUUUGUUACCUAAAACCGUGGGAUUGACUCAGAAAUCAGUUCGAAGCGGAUCCAGACCUCCCCCUUUAUAUAGAUAAAGGGCUACGACCAAUUGAACCCCCCAACAAUCGAUCAAAUCAAGUCUAUUACUCGUUUUUACCUUAUGCAUUAGGAGUAGUUCUAGUCUAGUUCUCGUUUAGCCCUAGUUUAAUAUUCCAAUCCCCAAAUUCUUCGCUUCUCUUCGACUCUACGUCGAUUAGAGGAGUCUAGGUCGGCCUGCCGAGCCUAGACAACCCCUAGGAUCUCUCCUCCCCGACGGGGUCCCUCCCAGGAGUGAGAUCCAAGCACCGCAGGCGACCUUUCGCCGCCCCUACGCACGCGCGGACCGUCCGGCCCCAGGGUGCGGACCGUCCGGUUAUCAGGCAGGGAACCCUAACCCUGCGCCAGGCCGCGGACCGUCCGCGCCUGUGCAGAGAGCACCGCCGCCGGUUCUUGUUGAGUGUUUGGCACCCGAAAAAGGUGUCAACAAUUACCUUUAUUUAUUCGGUAAUUUACCGUCGAUAAUGAAUUCGGUAUAUUUUCAUAAAAAUAUUAAAUCUGAGCCGAUCUUUGUAAAUUCAUAACAAAUCCAUCUUAACUUAGAAAAAUAUGAAAUAAAUUUUAUUAUUUUUCUAAAAUUAAGAUCUAUCUAAUGAUAUGUAGUUUAGAGUUGUUCGAAUAUUUUAUGGAUCUUAUUUAUAGUUUUUUCCAAUUAUUACUCUUAAUGCAUAUAUCCAUAAUUUGCACGAGGGUCUCAGAAGGACUAGGAUGAUAGAAAUUAUGUUGACUUUCUAAUUAUAUGUAUGUGUGCACGGUGCUUGUCACUUGUAUUUGUGAGUUUAAUGUCUUGUGAGAUCUAUUUACUACGACCGUCUUCUAAGAGGAUUUCAAAUACAAUUAUGUUAUUUAAGGAGUUGGUUACAAGAUAUUCAUCUCCCAAACUGGAUUUACUGAGAUGGUCAAACGUGGUACAUCUCCCAAAACAUAUUAAAUUGGCCCGGCUAUUCAAACUAAAAUAUAUUCUCUAAUUGAUACGCACAAAUUGUUGUAUGAGAUCGAUCUAAUCAUAUACUUAUAUGGUUAGUGUCAUGUUCUAUGGAUUGGUAUGUUUAUCGUUUUGGUAAUUUUUGAUCAUUAUCGAUGCACUUUCGAUCAUAUACUUCAGUUAUUGACACUAUCGAAAUAUCAAUGCCAUUUUCAUCUUCGGCAAUAUCGUAUCGUUUUCAUUUUCGUCAAAAUAAUUUGAAAGUGAAAGUGGUGGAGCCUUUUUUUGAUUGCUUCCGAUCGUUUUCAACCCUAGUUGGUCGAAACAGAGUUCAAGUUCUGAUUUCAACUCUGAUCGUUAGAACUAACUCCACAUCUGCCAACACUCAAAACUGGCCAAGGCCCAAGUAUUAGGAGCGCAAAAUAGUCGCCUUGAAAACCUACUUAUCCAUCUCAAUAUAUAUAUGUAAAUUUCACACCAAACAAACCUUAGAUAUAUGUGUACCUAAAUAAGACCAUGUGUCCAUGAGUCCAUCUCAAUUCACAUGUCACACUUACACAUAUAGAUUAUUCAGGCCAUGUAUUCUGUAUUUAUCUCAGUGAAUUGAGAUGGGUACGUACAUGUAUAUCUAAAUAAGACAUAACAAUGAGACGAUAUACAGUCAAACAGGUUGAAGUUCAUAUCCAUAUCGUGCGAGAGAGAGAAAAGACGAGAGAAUCAGGCCUGUGCAAUAGAUGCACGCGCUGGCAAGACAUGCAUAUGAAUCAUGUCAUCAGCAUGUUGGAUGGAAAAAGGCAUGUUGGUCUUGCUAUUUAUCUAAUUACUAUUUCGAGUACAAUAAACCGCCCAUGCGGCCGAUCGCAGCAUCGACAGCGUGGUUGGUUCACGUGUAAGGAGGGACUUAUAAGAACGAAAAAAAAACUGAGUGGACUUUUGUAAGAUAACGAUUAAUGAACCCAAGAUGUGUCAAUAGUCAAUGCAGGCAAGUUGGGUACAUUUGGUAUAUGCACAGUUACUCAGUUAGACGAAUCGAUGAAGGUCCGUAACAAGUACAAUAAUGGGCUCUAAGUCUUCUUAUAUGGAAGAGAAAGACAUCAAAAAAUAGAGGGGUUGUCUCUCAUGCAAGACAAAAGGAUGAAAGAGACAAGAGAUUUAUCUAAGAGCCAGCCUUAAAGUUAGCUUUAUAGUUUAUAAUAUGAGUGUGUUUAUUGUUAGCUAUACCUAUAGAUGACAUGGUAAAUAGUUAGAGCCAACUAUUAUUAAACUUGCUCUAAAGCGUUCGUGUGCAAACAAAAGCUGAAAAACAUUAAGGCCGGCAUGCAGAAACCACACCGAAAUUCGACGCGUGCAUACAGCUUUAAACGGUCGAAUAUGCCCCAAAACAGAGACCGUAGAUUCAUUAAACACCUUACGACUACUACCACUGCUAAUCUUGCACAUUACAUCCUUAAUACCGUCAUGACUUUGUUCUCCUACUUUUUACUGGCACCCAAUACUAGUACCACUAGCAGAAAGGCAGCAAGAGCAACACACAAAAAAGAGGCCAGGGAUAGGGCCACUCCUCGUCUCCUCCACUCGGGACUUUUUACAAGCAGCUGACGAAGCAGAGCACGUUUCAGCAGCAGCAGUCGGCUGCAGACCUCUCCGGGCCCCCAGCUCCCAGCUGCAAAAACAAGUGCGUGUCAAUCGACCGACGGGAACGGGACCUGCGAUGCCCGAGCGAAAGCUUCACUCGCGAAACGGACGGUCAGGGCCCCCACGGGGACUCACCGUCACCGACGAGGCCGGCACGUCGGAGCUCUUGAGCACGCGCAGCCUCUUGGCGGUGGCCACGAACAUCCUGCGGCGGACAGGGGCGGGACGGCACCCGGGCACGUGAGACGGGAAUUCUAUGAGAGUGACCGGGGUGACGCGGACGUGUUGUUGUGUGUGCGAAGCUGCGAAUGGGAGGGAGGAGGGGAUGCUGGUGCCGGUUUCCACUUACUCCCAGGGGACGUCGCCGGCAAGGACCCUGUCGCCCUCGUCGUCCUCGUACACCAGCGUGUAGUCGCCGCCGAUCACGGGGCCCUCCCCCUCCUCCUCCUCCUCGCCACCCGCCGUGGCCGCUCGGUCCCUCUGAGCUGCGCGAUCGGUGGAAAAAAAAAACUAGCUUGAUGCGACGACGGACAAGCAUGCACAUGGCGGCGACACACGCAGUACGGCGGCGUCCGUUUUGGUUUUGGAGGAGACAAGACAAGGCGGGUACGUACCGGCAAGCAGGCCGCGGAAGAGCUUGCCGACGGCGGCGGAGAGGUCGGCGUAGCCGCCGUACGCCGUGAGGUCCACCUUGCGCCCGAUCGGCACGCCGUCCAUGUUGAUCUUCACGAACAGGCCGUCCUUGGCGCUGCCCUCCUGGCGGGUGUGUUUCCCCGACGACGGCCUGGAGGAGGAGGCGGCCAGGUUCCUCCGGAACGACCGCACCGGCGGCCACCCCACCACCGGCGCCGCGCCCGCUGGCCUGACCCUGGCGGAUUGAAUUGAACGACCAUUAAGAAAAAAAAUGGACCUUUAGACAGUUGCCUUUUAGAAAAGCGAACAGAGAGAACAACAGCAACACCCGGCAGCCCGGCACCACCACCACCACCACCACCCACCUUGCCUUGGAGACAUUGCUCCCACUGGCGGCCUGGAUAGCGUAGGCAGAGGCCUCGGCGGGCUCCUCCCUGGCGGCGUCCAAACCUGAGGCUACCAAACGUCAGAACAUGGAACCACGUAGCCAUUUGCGACAGGAAACAAGAAGUGUACUACUAGCUCCAAUCGUGGCAGACGAACACCUGAAGGCCGGGCGAAGUAGGCCGGGAGGCCGAGGCUGAGCUCGAGGCCGCUGUCCAGGGCCUCCUCUCCGGCUCCGAGCGGGCCGCGCCACGCCAUGAUCGCCGCCGCCCGCGUCCCUGAAGCUCGCGGUCACGGUCACGGGUCACUGGCACGACUCAAGCAGAAGCAGGCAGAGAAGCGAGCAGUGGUUCGGCAAGAGAGGGUGUGUGUAUAUAAACGAGGAUGGCGACCGGGGAGGAAAGGCUGCCCCCGCCUGCCUCAGCGAGAGAGAGAGAAGAGUAUAGGAGAGCGCCAGAGCGGUGAACAGAAGAGGAGGCAGGAAGACGACGGAAGGAAGCACAGGUGCUGCGCCUCGCGGUGCCCGAGGUGACCAAAAGGCGGCAAGGGAACAAGAGGUCAGAAGGCUCCCUCCCUGAAACGUACACGUACUACUACGUGACGGCCGAGCCUCAAAGCUGCAGGUGUGAGGGAAUAAGGUCCAGUCGCACGGACGAAAGACAGCGGACAACAAGUACUAGGCUCCUCUGUUCCGUUCCGUCCGUCGCCCGCACCCUCUCUCUCUCUCUCUAGCUCGCAGUCGCACAGCCGGCAGCUAGAGCUCGGUCGCUGCCUGCUUCCCUCUUGCCUGUAGCUCUACAGUAGCAGAGGAGCUAGCUACUGUAGUACAAGAUAUGCAGGGCGAGAUUCCAAGGAGCACAAGGAAAGCCGGCAAGAGCUACAGAGGGCUAUGGUGGCCGCCCCGCCCGCCAAGCAAGAAGAAGCAACGGCUGCCUACCGAUCGAGAUCGCCGUCGGUCGUCGGUCCGUCUCUCUUCUAUCUCUCUCUCGUGCGCUCCAGGUCUAGGGAGGUUGCCAGGUGUGUGUGAGAGAGAGUGUUGCGGUGCUCGUCUUGCCUCUUGCCCCUUAUAAAUAAAAAUGGCGGCAAAAAGCGAAACGAAUCUGCUCCAUGGCACGCACGCAUCGCUUCAUCCCUCCCUCCGCCGUGUUCCUCUCCUUUUUUUUUCAUUAUAUGAAAACCUUAACGGGGAUACAGACGGAUCUUCGCUGCGCAAAGCAAACUCUACGCAUUACACUAUCCAGCGACUAAUAAAAAGAAACGGAGGGAGUACUACGUACGAGUAUCUCGCAGUGUGCACGGCACUCCCUACACGACCUCACAAAACGACGAGCGUUCUUACGUUCACUCGAUCCGAGCUCACAAAAUGACCGCAGAAACGAGUUGCCGUUGCCGAAAUGCGGCAGCUAGCUCCGUGGCCACUGGCCACUGGCGUUUGCUGUUUGCACUACUAGUACGUACAGUAGAUGUAGACGCGUCAUGCAUGUGUGAACGUGACAAAAAACGGCGGUGCUGGUGCUGGUGCUGGAUAAAAGAAGAAGGCAAGCAAGGCCAUCGGAUAAGACGAUAAGCUCCGAAAUUCUGGCCAUGGCCGCAGCAUUUGGUCGUCUGGGUUUUCCUCUCUCUCUUUUUUUAUAGCCUGUAAAAAAGAAAAGAAAUUGCAGGAUGCAGAUCGAGCGCGUCAAGCUGACUUUGCAGGAUUUUGGGGGGUGGGGGGGGGGGGGGGGGGGGGGAAGAAACAGGACAGGAGUUUGGCGUGAUGUCAUUCUGUCUAGUGAGGGAGUAUUAUAUCAUGCUGUUUAUACGGAUCCUGUUUGGAUCCUUUUCUACGAUUGGCUACAGACACUGACACGACUUUUAGUUAGUCCACCCUCAAACCAAGGACCAGUUUAUUAACUAGACAAUUCAAAUAAGAUACCUAUUCGAAUGAGAGAGAGAGAGAGAGAAUAUAAGAGUCAUCUCGUAUUCUCGUAGCAGCAAACAACAGAUAGAACGGUUUGCAAGUCACAAACUGUGCCAAAAAGGCUGAUGCCCGCUCGCCAAGGCGCACAGGCACAGAUGCAGAUGCCCGCGGCUGCAGAGCCUGCUGCUAUCGCGGGGGAUUGGCAGUAGCCCACACAGGCACACAGACAGAGUAGCUCCGUCACUGCUGGCCGGGUCCCACACCGCCGGCACGCGAAGCAGCCAACGGGGAGACGAAACGUGCUGCUGCCUUUCCUGGGUCCGUGUCACCGCGGCGGGGCUCACAUGGCUGCCUGGAGGCGACGGGUGGCUCAGGCUCAGGCCGCGUCGUCGCGACUUGACCCCGACCGGACCUCCCCCCCAAAUCUGGCACCAUCAUUUCCCCUAGUGCACCCUACAGCACUAGUACUCCUACUCCGGAUCUACUAGGAGUAUAGACCACCCCAUCCCCAUUGGCGAUAGAGCACCAUCGACUCUCAAAAAGGUACCAUAGCCUCCGUAGUAUAGUACUACGUAGCAGUUGGCCAGUACCACACCUCCGUGAAACAGAUCGCCAAGAAAGACAAGCUCCGGUUUUACCGCACCCAUUUCUGUGCUGCCGCAUGUGUCCCUCUGUAAGUCUGUAUACUGCGACCGAUUUUGUUUCUGAUAUGUGUCGCUCUGCUCUGCGUCACCGAUAAGAGGGCGAAAAAAAAAAAUGUCGCCCGCUGCAGCAGAUAUUUACUGUAUCAUGGACUCUACAUCGUUUCAUGUAGAGUGGAUGACUACGGCUAGCCUAAAUCUAGAGCUGACGAGCGAGAUACGAUAACACGACAUGUCUCACGUAGAACAGGAGAUAAGAUCACGAAUAGUUUGGAACCGGGAACAGCCACUUUAAUCAUCUAUGCAUGAAAUUGAGCCCCCUAGAAAAGCAACCUUUUGAGGCAUGAAACAACCACUUUAGUAACUCCAAAAUAAAACUAAGCCAAAAAAGCUAAGAUUUAAAUACUCGGAAUUCACACGUGGAAUCGUAAAUUUGAGUCCCGCGCCAACAACGAAAGGGACGAGCGCCUCCCUCCCGGACAGAAGCCAUCUCCCACUUGCAUAUGGCAAUCAUAUGAGUUCGUGGGUUCAUCGGGCGUCAUCAUAUCCGGCGGCGGGAAGGUGAGAAAGCGCUGCUGAGUUCCGCGGCCAUGGCCCAUAUAUGUCCAUGAUGGCCGCCGCCGCCGCCGCUUUUGAUAUGGCGAAGCCUCCACGAGGGGCAUGGCCCAUGUGGUGCGGCGACGCGCGCGCACGGCAUGGACGCACGCAUCGGCAGACGGCUCCUAGUAGAGGCGGUCGGUGAGCGCCGGAGCCUCUCUGCCUCGCGCGUACUCUGUGCCCCAGCUGCGCAUUAUUUUGUGGUGCGGGAAUCUGAUAGAUGAGAUCUCGCACGUUUUCAGACGAGGGUUGGGUCGGGGAUGCAGGCGCGACGCGCGGUGCAAUGCACCACAUGCGGCAAUUCGCGAUGGAGGAGCCGCCGGCCGGGGUGGUCCGUCCGACGCCGAUCGGAUCCGAGUGGCGGUACUGCGCUGUCCACGUCCUAUCGGCCGCCGGCCGGUGCGCAUGCAGCAUCUGCGGCUGCGCUGUUCCUCCCCACUACUACUAGGAGUUGUGCUGUGUCGACCACCGGCAACAGCCCCCCCGAUGGCGCCCUCGUGCUGAUCGGCGCGCGCGGUGGGGUGGGGGCACCUGGCACCACCCACCAAGGCACCCCCGCCGCCGCAAAAGCCUUUUUUGGCAAACCGCCGCAUGCAUGAUCAGAUACGGCCGGUGGCCGGGCCCGUCCGUCCCCCCGCCUGGGUGUCCUGUCUGUCCUGGUCCCUUGAUGGACAAGUACCAGCGUUUCUUUUUCUGCCCUACGAGCAGAGCACCGCCGAGCUGCGCGUGCCCUGGGAACAGUUCACUCGUCGAUAGGACACCCACGUCUGUCCGACGCAUCUACCUGUAUUGUUCUUUCUACAACGACCACUGGAUUACUGAAACGCAAAUUUUGAAGCGUGUCCGCGCCGUCGCAUUGUAGCAGAUUGUUCUUCUUCAUCGAGAAAAAAAGAAAAAGAAAAGAGAGGAGCAUCACUUCACUGAUGCGCGCGCCCCCGUCGAUCUACCGGACCGAUAGUUUUGUCUAUACUUGUGAUUUAUAUUAUCUUUCUAACCGAUAUAUAUACUAACUACUACCUGAUCGAUUCCUUCUGUCGGGUCAUUCAGAUGGCACUCACUCAUCUCUUUCACCAAAGAAAAAAGAAGAAGAGAGAAGGAAAAAAGGGACGGCGGCGGCACUCAUCUGCCAUGCGCGCGGGAGCUUAAUCCUGUCGGGGGAAAUGGGAUUACGUCUACCUUUUCCAGAUGCUCACGCUAUUCUAGCUACCACUGUCCGUCCACUCGCAGGUUCGGCUCAGGGAAUGAGACUGAAACCAAACGCAGAGAUCGAUUAGCAUCUUUUUUUUUAUCGUCGCGCUGCAUGCCCAAUGAUUGUGCAUGUCUUGUCUCGAUGAUCUUAGAACCCUGAUACGGUGCGUCUCUGAUGUGGCUGCAAGUAAAGCGACAGGUGUUCUAGGAGCCUUUAGAUCAGCCGGCGCCGCAACGCGAGCAAACGGAUCUUUUGUUCACCUUCUCCGGUUGAUCCUGCUGCAGCAUCAGCAUUCGGAUCCGGUGCCGGCAUGCUUAUCGCCUUCUACUAUAUAUAUACACACCACAGUAUGUAUGCGUUUGCCUGAACGUGAUGUGUGGUGUGAGCUCGUGGAUUACGUCUAUAACCUGGACGAUAUAUACAUCCGUUCUCGAAUAUUUAUCGUUAGAUAGUCUAUUUUUAAAAUAAAACACGAUAAAUAAAAAUAUUUGUCGUCGGCUAAUUUAUUUUAAGCUAAAACACGAUAAAUAAAAGGGACUAUGUUAAUAUUAGUAGGUCGAAACCUGUCUUACUUCUGUCCUAUUGAUAACGGGACUGAGGUGAACUGGACUCAAAAUGAGUGCCGGCCCACUGCACAGAAAAGCUAGGAUUAUGGGCUUGACCAUGUCCUACAGAAAUAAUUCAUUUUCCAGAUGCUUCCAACAGUUUACCCCGCCCAAUAGAACGAAUCCGUGUAAUACACAACGAUCACACGCACACACACCGGACAGUCCGGUGGUGCACUGGACAGUGCACUGUUCACUGUCCGGUGCACCUAGUCGUUGGUCUGACAAUGCAGCUGACCGUUGGUGCGCAAGCUUUUUACGCCGGACAGUCUGGUGGUCUUUUCUCCACAGUGCCACCUGGAACUAGCCGUUGGGCUACUGUUCCCUGGUGCACCGGACAGUCUGGUGCUCCAGACAAGACAGUCCGCAGGGAACACUUCCUUUGUUUCUUGGACUUCGCUUGAUCUUCAUAAUGUCUUCUUUUGAGGUGUUGCUUUCCUAAAUGCCUUGGUCCAAGUAACUUUAGCAUCCUGUGAGCUACAAACACAAACACUAGCAAAUUCAUUAGUCCACAGGUUAUGUUGAUCAUCAAACACCAAAACCUAUUUAGCUAAAUGGCCCAGGGUCCAUUUUCCUUACACUGCCAAAGAGUGGUGACCAAGAGCAAGAUUAGGGAUAAGUUUUGAAACAUUAUCCACCAUGUCAUGAAUGGUGAGGUAAUGAAUGUUGUCGUGUUCAUGAUGUGUCAGCUAAAUGAUCUCAAGAUGGAUAAGAACCAAAACAUGACAUAUGCUCCAUAUAUUAUGUCCCUGAUUCAUGCCAAAACAAGAGUUGAGGGUAGGUGUGAGAUAGCCCAUACUCCCUUCAGGCCCUUUAAGAAUGAAACUGGAUUUCUCACUAGGCUUCUCACUCCCUUCCCUGAUGAUAAGGGAGUAGCUGGGGAUGAUGUAGCAUCAAUUCAUGAGACAGAUCCAGCUCAACAGAUGCCUCCUCCUCCACCUCCUCAGCAUGAGCAGUUCUCUGGCAGCCUACUCUAGGCUAUUUUGAUACAUACUUUCAGUAGAUGCAGCAUGGGAUUCAAACCCAUAUGGAUGGUAGAUUCCAAGGCAUGAUGACACACAUGGAUGACAGAUUUGAUGCCAUGCAGACUCAUUUUGAUGGCCUGUACUCUGCAAUGCGGUCAAGGCUCUGCACUAUUGAUGAACAGUUUGAUGGGUUGAACUCUGAGUUUGUUGGUCUUCGCUCUCACAUCCAGGACACCAUUCAUGAUCCAAUCAUGAACAUAAUUAACAACAUGCAACAUAGUUUUCAAGAUAAUAUGAGUGCUCUGUCAAGUCAAUUUGAGGCUACCAAUAAUAGCAUUCACGCACUUGAUCAGAGGCAACAACAACUCCAGAAUGAUUUCAGUUGGUUCACCUCAUAUUUCGAUAGCUUCAACUCUCAUUAUUACAACAUGUAUUCGCGUCCUCGCCGGGUGGCCAGUGAGGUCCCUCUUUUCUUGCAAAUUGAUGCCUAAGUGGGAGAGAUGAAGACGAAGAUGGGGAUUUUAGUUAGGGGGAGCUCGAUGUGGACAUUUAGACUUUGCAUAUCUAUUAUCUACAUUUUAUGUUUUUACGCAUAUAUGUCAAGAGAUUUUAUGUUUGUGGACAAAUAUGUGGGGUUUCGAACUUUAUUUGUUAAAGUCUUAUGUUUCUAUUAGUUCGAUGAAUCCUAUGAGUGGUUGAUUGAGUAGUGACUAAAUUUACUGCGCUUAUUUCAUAUCAUAUUGCACUUAUAUGCCUCGAUAACCAUGUUUGUAGGAAAGAUCUCAACCAAAACUCUCAUCUAUUAUGUGUGUGAAAUCUUCAACUGAAUAUAUCAAGCACACAUGUAGGGGGGCUAUUCCUUCACCUUGAGUUUUUGUUAUGACUUAUCUAUCCUUCAGAUGGAACUUCAAAUCAAGAUAAGUCACUCAAAGCUCACCUCAAAUCCUUCUUAUACCUAAUGUGUGAGGAAGGUUUGAAAAACUGAAACUACUCUGUAUGAAAUGUGUAGUGUUGUCAUCAAUUACCAAAAAGGGGGAGAUUGUGAAUCAUCUAGGCCCCUUAGUGAUUUUGGUAAUUAAUGACAAUAAUUUGUGGACUAACAAUUUUUGAAGAAAUAAGAAUGCAGGUUGGACCACAUAGGAAAAUAUGUCUUGGAGACUUAGGGCGUGUUUGGUUGCAAUGACAGGACAAGACAGGUUGGGACGAUCCCUCAAAUAAGAUUGUUUGGUUUAGGGUCAAGGUUGGGACAGGACUAUCCCAGUGUUGUCCCCAGUUGUCCCUCAAAAUUGGAGGGACGAGAGAGAAUGCCAGAGGACGUCCCUGUCCUGGUUGUCCCGCAACCAAACGCACAAGCAUUGACUGUGGAUCAAGUGAAGGCAAAUGUACAAUGUAGGUUUUUGCUUUUGUCAGUCACCAAGUGUUUUAGAGAAGAAAUUGACCGGAUUAGUAGGCUAGAUAGCCAUACUAUAAAGAGGGGUCAAUGUAACACCACUGAUGUUACGAGAACAAAAACCUUGGCAUGUCAUCAUAUGCACUUGCAUUCACUAGGGUAACAAUUUGCAAAAAAGGUGAUGUUGUGUUGUUUUGAAGAGAGCAAGAGAAGUUUAGAGACCUUGUUUGGAAUCUAGGAUAAGCAAACAAUUUUAAACUAAUGGCACUUUGGACAUGAGCUCUAUAUACCAAAAAAGGGAUUUGUGUUCAAGAUGUAACCUUGCUUUUAGGAGAAUGGAAUAAGUUGAUGAAACACUUGAAGUAAAUAAGUCUAAUUUUAACUCUAAACUAACCCAAAAGUGGAAUUUCAAAGCUAGAAAAUAUUGGCUAAAAGUCCAUAUACCAAAGUUGUAGGACUUGAAAAAGUGAACAACUUUCUUACUUUGUGUUUUCUAAGUUGUAUGGAAGAAUUCGAAUUAAAUUGCAAAAAUUCAGUUUGGUCAGGAAUCAGCUAAAAAUAGUUUUAUUUAUCUGUUUUUGGACCCCGUAGUUUUUAA